RNAcentral lists this long non-coding RNA (77997 nucleotides) under Lactuca sativa (garden lettuce). Its description in RNAcentral is "long non-coding RNA (LSAT_LNC008409)". Lineage: Eukaryota; Viridiplantae; Streptophyta; Magnoliopsida; Asterales; Asteraceae. The record is from RNAcentral.
CUUUCAAGACCUUUAAGACUCCCACUGUCCUCUUGACAUAUAAGACUCCCUUGUCAAACAUCCAAGAGAUAGUGCGGAUUCUAAUCAAGAAAAACACUUUACCCAAUUGGCCUAAGUUGGUCUUUGUUUUAUCCAAAACAUCACAACUUACCAAUUUCAAAUGUACAAGAGUAGAAAACUUUUACUCUUACAUUUGACAAGUGUUUUAAACCUUCUUUAAGACAUGUCACUCAAAUGACAAUCUUGGAGUAUGACUCUAAGACUUGUAUUGGAACGAAGUAUGACUCAUCUUCUUGAUUUAACCAUUUCAACAAUUCAAGUUCCUCUUCUUAGUCAUAAGAAUGCACUAAGAUUUCCUUAGAGAACUAAUUUUGAUAUGGUUUCUUAAUCAUUAAGAUGAUCACAAAACUGAUACUAAAGUACUCUCCCAUCUUUUCAGAUUUGAGAAACUUUUAUCCUUCUGCCUUAUUUGAUUCUUCUUAUUCGCCCUGCCAUACAUUGGAACCUUUUCCAAUGUCUCAGAGUUACACUUAAGCUUGUAAGUAUAAUCAUAUUUACUGAGCUUUAGUAAACUAUGACGAAUAGUCUUAUCAAUCUUUUGUGGUGGACUUAAUCAGUGCACAAGAAUGUGUACUCGAUCCCUUAGUCCUUUACUUGACUCACACAUCCAUGUGGCCGAGUAAUUAGUCUUAAUUUUCCAAAACUUGAAAGUUCUCAUUCAUCAUGCUAUACAACUUGCAUGAUUCCAAGUUCCGGUCCAAUUGAAACUUGGGUGAUGAGAAUCUUUCCUUAUUUGGUAAAUCUAGACAUUACCACAAAUGAAAGAAUCAAUUUCAUAUUUCCACUCUUGCUCUUAAUGGAAUCAUAUAAGCAACAAUUUUUCCUCAAAAGCCAUUGUAAGGAUAUUUUAAAAUAAAUAAAAUCAAAAAAAUUUUCUUUUAUUUUAAAACUUUGCGGAAAAACUUAUCCUUACAAUCCAUAUGAAAACUUGUUGUUAUCUAUUCCUAAGCAAUAUCUCAUAACUCCUAAGAAGUUGCUCAAGAAUCCGAUCUUCAAACUAUGCGAUAGAAAUCCAUCUACGCCAUCAGAUUCAGCAUAUUCUUUCUUUAAGUUUCUUCACUUUUCUUUGAUUCUUAAAACAUCACCAUGUGACCCAGUCACAUCAUGUAUCAGGAAUCUCAGAAUAGAAACUUAACAGAGUUAGAUAGUGGUCUUUACCUGAAGUAGAGUCAAACUUAUUGACUUUAACAUCCUUAGGUAAAUUUGGCAGCUUCGCAACCAAUGCCCCUUCCCUUGGCAAUAUAAACAUAUGGACCCUUUGAUAAUGGUACACGAGACUAUCACAGACUUAGCUUUUCUCUUUACCAUUUGGUCAACCGAGUUGACUAUGGCCGAUCCCUUUCCAUUGGGAAGAGAAUGCUUUACUGGAUAUCCAAUGUCAUCAUUGUCAAUGUCCAUAAAGUUUUAGGAAGUUGAUCUUAGCAAAUAGAUAAGAUCAUUAAGGGUCUUGUCAUAGUCUGUUUCAUAGGUGUCCCAAAGGAACUCACUAUGUGACUUAGAAAGUGAUUGAACCACCAACUUUCUCAAGACUUUGACACCCAACUCUCCCGGCUUGUCAAUAUGUGACUACAUCUCCAAGAUGUGAUCACACCUAGACCUUGCCUUGCCAAUAGGGCUUGAGUGACCUUAAACUUUUCAAGAACUUGUGGGUUAGGGAGAAUAAUUGGAGGAGGUGAAAGAAGUAUGAUUUCCAAAGGACAUCAUCUUCAUUUAGGAAACCUUGUUUCACUAGAUUUGGGAAGAUCAUAGGUGUCUAUUACAGACAUCUUUUGGGAGAUAUUCAAGAUAGUUGAUUUAAAGUCCUUAAUAUGACACCCAAUAUGAAAUAUUAAGGCUAGGACCCAACAAACUAUUUUAUAACUUAGAAGAGGUAUGCCGUAAUCCAAGCUAUAAAAUAUUUGAAGGUAGGUGAAUGACGAUUCACCAAUUUCCACCAAGAUAAACGAAAUGUAUUAUUAGGUUUUAAUUGGUUUUGAAACUCCUAGAUCUUUGAGAUUCAUUGAACUUUUCAAAGGCAUGUUUCAAUCUCGAGUGUGCCCUUCAGGUUUUGUGACUGGGAUGCCGAGGAUCACAAAACAAGGUGUGAAGUAACCAUGCAAAUCACUUGGUACCCUUAAUAAAUUACCCCUCAAUCGAUGUGCCGGUUAACCACACACGCUCCAUCGAUACUAUGAUAAAUAUUAAGUCACCCUUUACCUACCUUGUUAAGUCCAAGUUAGUGUGCCGGUUAACCACACACGCUCCACUAACGACUUAGACAAAGUGUAAAGUGUAAUUUCAUGGAUUAGCACCUUAUUCACAUUUUUCCUAAGUAACUAAGAUUGGGUAUUAUUAAGAGUUUAGUUACUUAGUAUUAUCAUUAAUACUUUUAAUGAAGGGAGAAUUCUAGUCCUGUCAAACCCGUUCGGCUAACGACCCUCCACCAGUCAAGCAAGCGGUGGGUGAGAGUGGACACCCAUUAAGUUGCCAUUUUAUAGGCAACAACCUUAUACCCACCUUAUAGACCGGCUUCGUGAAUGAGGCGUACUAGCGGUAAGACUGACUUUACUCUUAUACAUAUAUAUAUUAUUAACUUAUAAUAUUAUAAAGUAUAAGGGUUGAAUUUUAACUUUUAAAAUUCUAAGGGCUAACUUGGAAUUAAAGUAUUCAUAAGUGAAAACUUUACAAAUUCCAAAACUUGAGGGCAAGUUUUGAAACUAUUCAAAACUAAUUAAUUCCAUAACUUAUGUGUUUAAAGUAGUUUUAAUCCAAAAACUCUUCAAGUUCCAUAACUUGAGGACAAGUUAUGGAAGACUUUAAACUAAUAAAAGAAUUAACUUUUCUUUAUUUUAUAACUUAUGGAAUUAAUUAAGGUUACACUUUUUUUUUUUUUAUUUUAUUUUAUUAAAUGAAGAGACUCUUGGUCCUCCAUAACUUGAGGACAAGUUAUGGAGUCAUAAAACCAUUUAAUUAGAACUAGACUCUUCAUUUUUGUAACCUUUGCCAAUUUUUAUGAGUUUUAUGAUUCUUAAAUGUGACUUUUCAUAUAACUUGAGGACAAGUUACAAAAACACAUUUUAGAAUCAAUUCUUAGAUUAAUUUGGAUUAAAACCAACUAUCACAUAAUUUUAUUCAUUAAUCUAAAUUCACUCAUAAAACAAGGUAACACAAAAAACUUUUGGUGAUCCAUAACUUAUUCUUAAGUUAUGGAAUCCUUUAAAACAUUAACACCAAAUUUUGUAACUCCAAAAAAACUUUGAAUCAAUUUUUUUUUUAAAACCUUUUCAUAUCCAUAACUUAUGGAGGUUUCAAAAAAUAAAACUCUUUAGAUCAAACUUUUAAAACUAAUAAAAUAAUCAUAUUAUUUUAUCUUUUAUUAAAUUUGACCUAAUUCAACUCAUAAAGCAAAUUAUUCAAAUUUUACAAAUAAUUAGUUUUUCACAAGAACAAGUAAUUAUCUUAAAAUUUGACAAACUUCAUGUUUUUUUUUUUUUUUUUUUUCAACUUUGAAAAUAAAAUAUUUGCAUCAAUAUAACAGAAAACAACCCGUGGCUCUGAUACCACUGUUGGGUUUUGAGCAUUCUAACACUCCUAUGGUGUACAUGCAACCCUAUAAACCUUGGAUCUAUGUUUUCUCUAUAAUACAUGCAAAUAAGAACUUUCCAAGGCUUUAAUCCUAACUAGCAUAUUAUGAAGUUCUUAUACUACAAAGUACUAGUUAGAUGACAUACCUUUUGAUGUAGCUUGAUGUCUUCAAGCUUUAAGAGCUUAGCCCCAAUAGUGUGGAAGCCUCAAAUGGAAUCACAAAUCACCAAAACACCUUGGAAGACUUUAGAGAAUAUGGAUACUUGGUUCUCUCUAGUGAAAUUGGCUAGCCCUUCUUAGUGUACCACACUAGUGCCCAUUUCACCAACCAAGGACAUCUUUAUAUAGUAUGGAGGAUUAGGGUUAAACCCUAAUACCCAUGACCUAUCAUUUCCUAGGAUCCAUGGGUUAAACACUCCAUGGACUAUCCAUGAAAGCUUAGCCCAACCUAAAUGAACUUGGCCCAUUCCAUAUAUAUAAGAGUCCAUAUUUAAUUAGUUCCUUUUGAUCACUUAAUUAAUUAUAAAUUAAUUCUUGAUCAAUACUAAUUAAAUAAUAUGAUUCCAUAUUAAUAUAUUAGAACCUAUAAUAUAUUAAUAUUAAUCAUAAAGAUACUAUUCUCAAAAGAUUAUCCAUAUAAAUUGUGUCGGUGAAGUGCAACCCAAAUGGACCAUGCCGGGUCGGGUCAAGUACAUACCAAAUAUAGUUAUGGACUUAGACAUUAAUCCAACAAUAGCAUGCUUGGGACUCGAAGAGUUGUUCUUCAGAGUCGACGAGUUGUUCAUACAACUCGGCGAGUCACAGACUGGAUGUGUUCUUAUGUUGAAGGAGAACUCGACGAGUUGUUCAUACAACUUGGCGAGUCGGAUGAAGUUAGACUCGAUGUUAGCAUUGAGGGAGAACUGGUCGAGUCUUUGCCAAACUCGACGAGUAGAAGCGGGUAGAGGAAUAUAAUGGAUGAUAGGGACUUGGAGAGUUGACGGCCCAACUCGGCGAGGCCGGUCAAUAGGAAGUUGACUUUGACCAGGAAGUUGACUUUGACUUGCCUAGGGGUAAAUAGUCAUUCGCCCAAUUUAACAUAAUGGAAUUGAUUUGAGUCCAUUAAAGCUAAUUGAAUUUGUAUGGCCCAAUAAGGCCCAUUAUAGGUAAACUAAUCCAUUUUAGACCCAUUAUGGCCUAAAAUGUUAAGUUUCAUGCAAGUGGGUUCAAUUAGGGUCCAUAUAAGGGUCCUAAGCCCAAAAUAGUCAAAUUGGAAGCUUAUUGGUCCAUUAGGCCCAAUAAGGAAAUCCUAUUCCAUAAUGGACUUAAACCAUGAUUUUUAGGGUUUCCAUUCUUUUGUCAACCAUUUGAAGUGUUUGUAUAGAGUGUUUGAUGGAAAUUUUGUUGUCAUCGAAUAAGCAUCAUUAAUGCUUUCAAGUUUUAGUACAAUGUUAGGCUUGUUAAGUAUUUACAAAGCAUCAGAAUUCCUAGAAGCUCUAGAAGCUCAGAUCUAUGUUGGAAACUUUACAUAUAAAACCAGUCCUAGAAGCUCAGAUCUAUGUUUUGGAAGCACUGAAAUCGAUUAGAAUCAACUGUAUAGUAAUAGCAUCCUUGGGACUCGACGGAUUGUUCUUUAAGUCGACGAGUUGUUCAUCAGAAUUGACGAGUUUUUCAUACAACUCGGUGAGUCACAGACUAUACGUGUUCUUAUGUUGAAGGAGAACUCGACGAGUUGUUCAUACAACUCGAUUGAAGUUAGACCCGAUGUUAGCAUCGAGGGAGAACUUGUCGAGUCUUUGCCAAACUUGACGAGUAGAAGCGGGUAGAGGGCUAGAAUGGAUGAUAGAGACUCGGCGAGUUGAUGUCCCAAAUCGGCGACUCCGGUCAACAGGAAGUUGACUUUGACUAGGAAGUUGACUUUGACUUGCCCAGGGUUAAAUAGUCAUUCUACCCUGAGAUUAGUAUCAGUAUUUGAUUUAGUGUUUAUGGGAUUUGUAGCCUAGGAGUUUCGGAGUAGCGGUCAGGUAGUUUCAAAUUUAACAUCUCGGUAGCCAGCGUUACGAGGUGAGUUUCCUUCCAGUAGGAACGGGUCUACGGCCACAAUGCUGACCCGUCUAGUUAGCAGUAGAUCCGGAAUUUGGUCCAAUGCAGUAGUUCAGUGUGCAUGAUGUCUUUGUGAUUCAAGCAUGUCUUUGUGCUAUGUGUUCCGGACUUCAGUCCGAUGUAGUAUGCAGUAUAUGUGCUUAUGCUAGUUGAUAUGUUUAUGCUAUCUUAUGCUCAGUCAUUUUCCGUACUUCGGUUCGAUGCAGGGGACACGGUCCCGGUCAGUUCCGGAUUUUGGUCCGAUGCAGUUAGUUCUGGACUUCGGUCCGAUGCAGGGGACACACUCCCAGUUAGUUCCAGACUUUGGUCUGAUGCAGAGGGCAAGGCCCUAGUUAGUUCCGGACUUCGGUCCGAUGCAGUUUUUGGACUUCGGUCCGAUGCAGUUUCCGGACUUCGGUCCGAGGCAGUGGGCAAGGCCCAAUAGUUGCUUGUGUGUUAUUGUAUGGUAUGUGGUAGUUUGGGGGAGCUCACUAAGCUUCGUGCUUACAGUUUCAGUGUUGGUUUCAGGUACUUCCACUAGCAAAGGGAAGAGCUCGUGUUGAUGGCAUCGCACACACCACAGCUUCAGUUUAUCCUGGGCGUUUAUUUCAGAUAUUGUUAUGAUUGAUAUAGUUUUGUUUUGACACAGUACUAUGACAUUUGAGCUACUCAUUCCAUGAUUUUAUUAUAUAUAUAUAUAUAUAUAUAUAUAUAUAUAUAUGAUAUUCGAGGAUUUGAUUUUUAGUAAUAUUAAAAUAAUUUUUUUUGGGUCGUUUCAAGUUGGUAUCAGAGCCUUGGUUUGAGGGAUUCAGGCAUACUUCCGAGUGCGUCUGAACUAAAACUAAGGAAAUGGUGAAAGAUUUUUAAAAGAGAAACGUUUUUGAAAAGAAAUUUUGAAAAGAAAUUAGAAAGGAAAAUAGUUUUCUUAAAAAGGGGUGUGGUGCAUGCGAUCAACCAAGAUCAAGUAAGUACUCCCAAAUUACCCAUACAAGCUUUUGUUAUGAUUAUCAGUUUCAGUUUCAUUAGAAAAGCAUGUUAGGAUAGGACUAAGGAUCUAGGAGGAUGCCUUAUGUGCCUUCUAUAUGUGUUUCAGCUUUAUGAGAAUUGCAUGCUAGUAUUGAGUAGACAGCAAGAGGAUAGCCUAGUUAGGUUAUGCUUGAUAGUAUGAGCUUAGCAUUGUAUGCUAGUGCAGAUUAGGCAGAAUGAUAGCCAGAGUGGUAUAUGCUUGAUUAUGUACUCAAUGCCCGAAAGCUGCUUGCUUGUGCUUUUAGGAGUUCUAGUUGUCUUUCACUAACUAGUAAACGAAUGUGUUAUGUUACAUAUUGCAAGGACUAAAUAAUUUUAGAAGGUUAGGUCUAGCUCUAUUUCGCAGCUCUUUUUUGAGUCCAACCGUUAUAGGGUAGGAUCCCACAUUCGAAGAAUUAUCUAGUCUGAGUGACAUGUAAUAGUACUCGCGAGCUAGUUUGGGGAAGAAAGUGGGGACUUCUUAUGCAGCUGAUGACGGAGAGUGGGUUGGUGAUCACCCUAGGGCUAGCCUAGGAUGAUAUUAGUAUGAGAUCAGUAGUAGUAGUAGUAGAAGGGACUUGGUGGAGUCGAGGCAGUUCUUGGGGAAGGUACAGAUAGAUGUGGAAGGUAGUUAGGCCAUACUACUGAAAGCAGAGGAUCUGUACUUGAAUGAAGGAAGGCCAAGGAGAAACCAGGAAACUUGUAGUAAUAGUGAUCCCUUGAGAUAUAUCAGUAUUUCUGAUGUUGUCGUUAUGUGUUUCAGAAUGGUGGUUUUACACCCUAGACCAAUAAUCGGCAAUUCAGGUGUCGGGGAGGGAUCAGAACUAGGGUCGGGAGCCGAGCAUUUGGAUGAUCAGACCAGGGAGUUCCUCUCUUCAGAGAUUACUCGCAUCAUACUCGAGCAGACUCCUGUGAUCUUUGGUUCGAUCAAGGAGGGUAUUUCGGAGCUGAUGGAUGAGAGGUUGAGCACCUUUCGUGCUGAGGUGGCGACCAUGAUGGGGUCGCGCACGCUCACUUUCAGGGAGUUUAGAGCCUGUGGAGCUCCUAACUAUCAUGGGGCUCGGGACCCCAUAUCGAGUACCAGGUGGUUAUUGGAUGUCGCCAAUGCUUUCCGCACCAGCAGAUGUCCUGAGAGGGAAAAGGUCAGACUAGCAUCUUGUCUUCUUAAGGACAGGGCACAAGAUUGGUGGGAGGAGAUUGGACAUGUCAUUGGGGAUGACGCAACUCUUGAUGCGACGACUUGGGCUGAUUUUACUACCAGGUUCAGAGCCGAGUUUGCAGUGGUUAUUGAGGUGCAACAGUUAGCCAGAGAGUUUCAAGAUCUUACUCAGACUACAGAGACAGUGGCAGAGAUUACCACCAAGUUUAGGGAGAGGGCUCUUCUCGUUCCUCAGUACGCAUCUGAUGAGGAAAUGAAGAAGGCCCGUUAUCAUGAGAUGUUGCGAAGUGAUAUCCGCCAGUUUGUGAGCCGGUCCAGCUAUAAAAUGCAGGAUGACAUGAUUGCUAGGGCUCGUGAGAGAGAGAGAGAUUGAUCUAGAAAUGGAGAAGAAAAGGAAGCCAGAGGCGGUAUCUAGCACUAGGAGUUCGAGCAAAAACCCCAAGGUAUCAGAUCACAGAUCUAGAGGUCAGCGGAGCCACGGUCGGUGUGGCAAGUGUGGGAGAUUACAUGAUGGGGCGUGCAAGGCAGGGAGUCCCGGUUGCUACAAGUGCGGCCGGACCGUGCAUAUGAGUAGAUACCUUGGUAUCUGAUCUGAUUUGCUUCCAUUGCAAUCAGAGGGGACAUAAAAAGUCUCAGUGUCCAAGUUUGCCAGCAGCAGCAGCAGCAGGGAAGGUGGCAGCACCUGCCCCCUACAACAUUGAGGAUUACGGAUGGCCGUCAAGGCCGAAGUGAGGCGUCAGUGGCGAAGAGUAGAGCUUUUCAGAUGAGAGUAGAGGAGGCGCGAGCGACUCCUGAUGUGGUGACGGGUAUGUAUCUUCCCUUCAUCUUUUUAUUAAUGUUGAUUGUUUCUUAUGGUUAUAUGUUUUUAUAUAGGGUCGUUCUUAGUGAACGACAUAUCAGCUACAGUGUUGUUUGAUUCGGGGGCUACCCGAUCAUUUGUUUCACUUGCGCUUAGCAAGAGGUUUAGUAGUGCUCCGAGGGAGCUGGAUUGUCCACUUAAGGUUGAGAUAGCUGAUAACAGGACCGUCAGGAUCGUGAGAGUACAUAGGGCUUGUUCGCUGCAGCUAUUUGAUGAGCAGUUUUUAGUGGGUUUGGUUCCUAUUCCCUUGCGAGGGAAUAAGGUUAUAGUGGGUAUGGAUUGGCUGAGCCCCAAUGGGGCAGUGAUUGAUUGUGAGCUAUAUUUAGUGAGGGUCCGCACCCCUAGUGUGGGGAGAGUUAGUGAUUCAGGGCGACAGGCCACAACGCGGACCGAUUCUUUGCUCGACAGUGAGAGCUCGACGCUACUUCCAACAGGGUUGCGCGGGGUACGUCGCCUAUGUUUUGGAUGCCCGGGAGAAGGGCAAGGCGACCGUUGACGAUGUAACGGUAGUGCGAGACUACCCGGAUGUAUUCCCGGAGGAUUUGCCUGGGAUACCUCCAGAGAGACAGGUUGAGUUUCGGAUUGACCUGGUUCUGGGUGCGGCUCCAAUAGUCAAGGCGCCGUAUCAGUUUGCUCCUCCAGAGAUGCAGGAGUUGUCUACGCAGCUGCAGGAGCUGCUAGACAAGGUUUUCAUCAAACUGAGCAGUUCACCAUGGGGAGCCCUGAUCCUGUUUGUAAAGAAGAAGGAUGGGUCGCACUGUAUGUGUAUAGAUUACCGGGAGUUGAAGAAGGUAACGGUGAAGAACCGUUACCCACUCCCGAGGAUACAUGACUUGUUCGAUCAGCUUUAGGGAACAUCUUGGUUUUCCAAGAUUGAUCUACGCUCCAGUUAUCAUUAGAUGUGGGUCAGAGGUGAGGAUGUUCAGAAGACAACUUUUAGGAUCCGUUAUGGUCAUUAUGAGUUUGUGGUGAUGCCGUUUGGGCUCACCAACACUCCAGCCGCAUUCAUGGAUCUCUAGAACCGCGUAUGCAGGCCGAUGCUGGAUCGGUCUGUGAUAGUGUUCAUUGACGAUAUCUUGCUUUAUUCCAAGACUCAGGAGGAGCAUGAGGAGCACUUGGGGGAGGUGCUAGAGACUUUGGGGAGGGAGAGACGUUUCACGAAGUUCUCCAAGUGCGAGUUUUGGUUGCGCGAGGUGCAAUACCUUGGAUACCUCGUUAACCAGAAGGGGAUAUUGGUGGAUCCGGCCAAGAUUGAGACCGUGAUGCAGUGGGAGGUCCCGAGGUCUCCAUCUGAGAUUCGGAGCUUCCUAGGGUUGACAUGGUACUACAGGAGAUUCAUCCAGGAUUUCUCCAAGAUAGCAGUUCCACUUACCCGACUGACUAGGAAGUCGGUGGUGUUUCGAUGGGGGCCUGAGCAGUAGGCACCUUUCAAGACCCUCAGCCAACGAUUAUGCGAGGCAUCGAUUCUCACCUUGCCAUAGGGAGUGGAUGAUUUUGUAGUCUAUUGUGAUGCUUCGAUCACAGGGAUGGGAGCAGUGUUGAUGUAGAGAGGGCAUGUGAUAGCUUAUGCCUCUAGACAGCUGAAGCCCCACGAGGCUAAGUAUCCGACACACGACUUAGAGCUGGGGGCAGUGGUGUUUGCCAUCAAGAUUUGGAGACAGUAUCUCUAUAGGGUCCGCUGUACCAUUUACACAAAUCACAAGAGUCUGAGGUACCUCAUGGACCAGCCGAAUUUGAACAUGAGGCAACGUCGAUGGUUAGAUGUGGUGAAGGACUAUGAUUGUGAGAUCCUUUAUCAUCCGGGCAAGGCCAACGUUGUGGCCGACGCCCUGAGCCGCAAGGCAGUGGCGGCACCGAUUAGAGGUAUAUGUCUGAGGAUGAUAGUGAUUACUCCAUUGCUGGAGCAGAUUAGAGAUGCAUAGGUCGAGGGCCUGAAAGAGGAGAGGCAGAAGUGUGAUAGGAUUGUGGGCCGAGUAGCUUCUUUCGACUAUGACAGUCGGGGACUGUUGAACCUUCAUGAGAGAGUAUGGGUGCCGUAUUGGGGAGGAGUACGACAGGUGUUGAUGGAUGAGUCCCACAGGUCCCGGUUCUCCAUCCAUCCAGGGGCGACGAAGAUGUAUAGAGAUCUUCGACCCAAUUAUUGGUGGCCCUGCAUGAAGCGGGACGUAGCCUGGUACGUAGAGAGAUGCCUGACUUGCAGGAAGGUCAAGGCAGAACACCAGAGACCCCAAGACAAGAUGCAGCCGUUAGAGAUUCCUGUCUGGAAAUGGGAGGAUAUCACCAUGGAUUUCAUCACUAAGCUUCCCAGGACCGCACGGGGAGUUGAUUCGAUUUGGGUCAUAGUGGAUCGGCUAACCAAGAGCGUGCAUUUCAUACCGAUCCAGGAGAGUAUAUCGGCUGAGAAGCUAGCUGAUAUUUAUGUACGCAAGGUAGUAGCACGAUAUAGAGUGUCUGUAUCAGUAGUAUCAGAUCAAGACGUCCGGUUCACUUCCAGGUUUUGGAAGCGGUUUCAUAGCGAGAUGGGGACUCGUCUUUAUUUUAGCACCGCUUUCAACCCUCAAACGGAUGGACAGAGCGAGAGGACGAUUCAUACUAUCGAGGACAUGCUUCGGGCAUGUGUCCUAGACUUUGGUGGCAGUUGGGAUAAGUAUCUUCCACUAGCGGAAUUUUCGUAUAACAAGAGUUACCACGCUAGUAUUGACUGACCUCCUUUCGAGAUGCUCUACGAGAGGAAGUGUAGGACCCCGAUUUGUUGGGGCGAGGUCGGUCAGCGAGUCAUCGGGAGCACCGAGGUGGUGCUCAAGACCACAUAGUUGAUCCAACAGGUCCGUAGCAGAUUGCAGACUGCACAGAGUUGACAGAAGAGUUAAGCCGAUAGGAGGCGUUCGGACUUGGAGUUUCAGGUGGGCGAUAUGGUCCUCCUGAAGGUAUCACCCUGGAAGGGUGUUAUCAGGUUCCGGAAGAGGGGCAAGCUGGGCCCCAGGUUCAUUGGUCCUUUUAGGGUUUUGGCCUGGGUGGGUUGGGUUGCUUAUUGGUUGGAUCUUCCGGCAGAGCUUAGCCAGAUCCACAACACUUUCCAUGUUUCUCAGAUGAGGAAGUGUUUGGUGGACGAGUCAGCAGUUGUACCCUUGGAGGAUAUUCAGGUUGAUAGUAUCCUGAAUUAUAUCAAGAGGCCACUUCGAUCUUAGAUCAGAAGGCAAAGACUUUUAGGAACAAGGUGGUUCAGUUAGUGAAGGUGCAGUGGCAGCACCGAAAAGGUUCAGAGUGGAUGUGGGAGACCGAGGGGGAGAUGAGGGAGCAUUACCCAGAGUUAUUUUCAGAUUUAGCAGCAGCGGACUUCGAGGACGAAGUCUAAGAUAAGUGUGGAAGAGUUGUAACGCCCCAUUUUCUGGUAUGUAAAUUAAAUAAAGUAUUUUCAUUUCGUAAGGGGUACUCGACGAGUCUGUAGCCCGACCUUCUCAUGACACAUAAUUUCAGCAUGGUGGGGGAUCAACCAGUCCAUGCCGAUAAUCACAUCAAAACUCCUAAUAGUUACAGGCAUCAAGUUUAUUAGAAAGACGUGAUGAUUUAAGGUCAGGGUACAUCCUACGUAGAUUUCCCCAGUUGAUUCUGUGUUCCCAUUAGCCAUUUCCAUCGUAAAGGUUUCAUUAAGCUUCUGGGGUUGUUGUUUUAGCAAGUGUUUGAAUUUAUUACUCACAAAGCUUCGCUCUGCCCCGAUAUCAAAUAGGAUGCAUGCAUAUGUGUGGUUUAGGAGAAACGUAUCAGUGAGAACAGCGGGAUCCUGAACUGCUUCUCCUUGUCCCAUGGUCAACACUCUCCCUGCUCCUCCAUUCCCAGGGUUGUUGACAUUGGGGAAGUUUCGACGAAAAUGCCCAAUCUUUCCACAUCCAUAACAGGUGUGGCUCGGCCCCACAUUGUUUCCGUUGUUGUUGUAGUUCCGAUUGUUGUUGUUGUUGUUGUUUCCCUGCUGUUGGUUCUGGGGAGGAUAGGUCCUACCUUAUUUUGCUGUGUGACCCUUUUCAUUGCAACUGGUGCAAUGCGUUUCCCUGCAUUUGCCAUUGUGAUGGAGAUUGCACUUGUUGCACUUUGGGAGAUUCCCAGAGUACUACUUAGGGGCACCUGUCGUCCCUUUCUCUUGUUAUUCUUUCCUUUCUUGUUAUCACUCUCCUUCUUGCCUUCAGUUUCCCCUGACUUCUCGCCCAUCUUGUUGUUGUGGUCGUACAACUUCUUGGCCAACCUCUUGGCACUGUCAAAGGUUUCAGGAUUUGCAGCUAUCACAUUUCCUUGAAUUGGGGAGGUUAACCCCCAGAUGAAUCGUUCAAUUUUCUUUCCCCCUAAAGUAAUCAUGCCAGGGCACAACAGAGAGAGUUCGCUAAACCUUGAUACGUAUGCAUCGAUGUCGGAGUUUCGGACGGUGAGAUUCCAUAACUCUUGCUCCAUUUUCUGAAUUUUGCCACGCGGGCAGUACUCGGCCAUCAUCAUUUGUUUCAAUUCCGCCCACGGCAUGGCAUUGGCUACGGGAAGAGUCAUGGCUUCCACAUGUCCAUUCCACCAGGUGAGAGCUUGAUCAACGAAUGUGCAUGCCACAAACUUCACUUUCACCUCCUCAGGGCAUUCACAUAUCUCGAACACCGAUUCCACCUUUUCAAUCCAUCUCUUUAGGAUUAUCAUUCCCCCUAUGCCAUUAAAGGUUCGUGGCUUGGCGUUGGUGAAAUCUUUGUAGCAGUAAGUCUUGGUAGGCCCCUAGUUCAUUCCGUUGUUUGAGCUUCUAGCCCCUUGUCCAUUGCCUCCCCUAUUGUUGCCAUUGUGGAUUUGUGCCAGUGCCACCGUGACUGCCAUAGAUACAACUGCUUGAAAUGCAACCGAGUUGAUUUCUAGUGGUAUCGGUUCAGGGUUUCCAAGGAUGGGUCGCUGAGGCAUCUUUCUGUCAUGGAACGUAAAGAUGUUGAGAGCCUAUAAUUUUUGUGAGUUUUGGGUCCUAUAUGCUAGGUGUAUAGCAUAUACUUGGGCAGUUUUUACAUAUUGACAUACAAUCAUGGGAACAUAACACAGAACAGAUAACAACAUCACAAUAGACCACAUAUUAUUUUCCACUAAUAAUAUUCGUACUUUGAUACAUGAAAAUUUUGCUCGAAAGAGCAUACAUAAAGGGUACAAUGUUCGGCAGCGUAACGACUCUAUGAGUAGUGUAAUCAGUUAAACAUAGAGUCGGUGGUACAUAGCAUAGAUCAUAUAAGCAUAAUACUGAAGAUGGACACGACUAAUCCUAGCCACGGUGGGAUGUGCCAGGGGGUGGUGCUGAGGAAGUGGAUGCUCCCUAAAGGCGAGCCACCUGUCGCUCCGUGUUGUGGAGUCGAUUCUCCCACCUCACUUGUCUCAUGUGGAACUCUUGGAUAACUUCUCGUGUCUCCUGCUCCGCGCGCUCAACCCUAGUCCACAUCUGGUGCAUCUGAUCGAUGGUGCUCUGAGCCAGAUCGCCAGUGUCCCGCAAUCGUCUCACCACGUCUGGAAGUGCGCGAUCAGCCAAUCCUCCCUCCGUCAAGUCAUAGAACUCACGUGCCAUGCCAAACGGGGGUCGUUGUCCCUGCUUCCUGCUCCACCUCCAAAUGUCGAUACCCAGGGGGUGUAGGGCCAGUUGGGCCCAUCCGAUGAGCGGGCACCCUAAUCGGGUAAGGGGGGUUGAUGACUUCGGACUCCACGUCCGAAUCAUAGUCGUCGUCAUCACAGGGUUCUUCCUCGAGGUCUCCUUCGGCUUCUUCUUCUUCCAGGUCUACCACUGGUUCGACAGGUCCGCCCUCGACUUCCGCUUCAGGUUCCUCUUCAGACUCCUCCUCGGGGUCUUCUUCAGGUUCCUCUUCCGACCAUCCGUUAUUCCCCUGGUUGGGGAAAUAUGGAUCUCCAGGGUGGUGGAAACCGGCCAUACUGUCUGCAAGAGUGUAUAUAAAUAUACUGCUGUUAUUCUUAAGGUUUAUUAUUUAGAUAUUUAAAAGGUUAGGUUGAUGCGUUCUUUUGGGUAACAAAGGGGUAUGUUUUAAGUUUACCGACCAUCACGAUUUCCCCAGGGCAUGUGAUAGUUGUAUUCCGGAGGAAAUGUAGUUGAUCAGGCUACCUUCGCCCCUUAAUACAACUGUGAACAGUCCUGGCUUAACCGAGAUGUCAGGAUCAUCUUAUUUAAUUUGGUAUUAUGUUCUUUUCCCUAUGUCGCACAAGCAAUGGUGUUUUAUUAUUAUAUUUUAUUUGUUUUGUUCAGAGUUGUUUAGUCCCUCUUUGGUUUAUAGUUGCAUAUCAAUGUAUGGUUAGAUAUGCCGUUCACUAUAAAUAGUGCUCUGAUACCAACCUGUCACACCCCCGAACCAGACGGCGGAAACGUCCGAGGGCUCGCGUGACUUAAAUUGAAAUAUCAUCACAAUGAUUACACAUGAAACAUAACAUAAGCAUCGCGAUGCAUUAAUAUAUUACAACUGACAUUGUUCGCAUCAAGUACAUUGUCUAAAUAUUACCUUUCCAUAGCAUAAAUUGUUUGGGAGUUUUCAAAACAUAACAUCCUAAUACACUUGGUAUCGUUCUUCGGUUUAUCUGUUACCUGAGAAUACAAGUUAUUUUGAAAACGUCAACAUAAAGAAUGUUGGUGAGUUCAUAAGCAGGUUUGAUAUGAAAAUGUUUUGUGUAGUUUAUAAAACCCAGAAAAUCCGAUAUUUUCUGAACCGACAAUUGUUUAUACAAAAAGUGUGAAGAUCCAUAGGUAUAUGCGUGAAUGAUUUCAAAACGUGCAUAAGUGAGAAGUUUUGCAUUAUAGUUAUUGAAAGUACAAGUGAAUAAUGUUGAUUUCCUCCGAAAAACCUGAUGUUUUCCGAUAAAUAAUAUGAUCGUUUUGGAUUAUUAUAUUGUCACAACGAAUAAAUAUGAAUUCUCCUGAUUACUUAGAUGGUAUUGGAUUUUUAUGUGGGUCGUUAUAACCAUGCAUGAUAAUGACUAGUUCGUCUGUCUUGGCAUUCUAGUGAACGCCAGAGUUGAUCUUAAGAUUUUGUCACCGUAGACUGGCCGAGUCUAACUGUAGCGAACAACUUGGGUGUGGGGGAGUCACCCCCGUAUAGAUCUAUACAGAAACUCUCGCUCUCCCUCCAGGAGACUUUGAUUAUAACUACAGACCACGACUGACCCUUAAUGGUGUCGCCCAUUAUUACUCAAUUAAUCCAAAUGAAUUUGAUUACCCUUGAUUAACGACCUGAUUUUUGGUUUACUUAAAUAGAAGAUAAGUGUAACAGAUGAGGAGUAGAGGACCACGAGGUCUAAGGCUGUCGAGUAUACGAAGGGCGUGUUGUUCUACUUCGCAUAUGAUUUAUUUUGACCUUACUAGCAAUGAUAGUGGGCCACUAAGGCCCAACAGCACGUAAAUGCCAUUGAGGGUCCCUUAAGCAUGUAAUUGGGUCACAGUAGGCCCAAUAAACAUGUAUUAUUGUUGUUAGGCCCAAAACUCAGAUUAAUGGGUCACGAAGGCCCAAUAAGCAUGAGUAGAAUUUUUCAAGCCCAACAAUUGGAAUAUUUACUUGUUUUAGGUAUAGUAUAAUUGUCGGGAAUUUUGUUUGAACAAUUGUUGAAUCGCAAAGGCACGAAGUUUGUCAAUUAUUGUGUAACGAUAUUUGAAUUUAUGAAAAUAUAUGUAUAUUUUUCAUUCUAAACUCAUAAGUUAUAAUUUGGUAUUUUUGACCCAAUAUCUUAAUAAUAAAAUAAUUGACUCAAAAAUAUUGGUUUGACCAUUUUCAGCCCUUCUUUAAUAAAAAUGACAAUUUUAGUCCCUUUUUAGAAAAAAUGACAUUUUAGGUCCUUAAACUAUAUUUCUUAACAUUUUGGCCCAAAGACUUAUUUAAAUAAUGUUUUCAGCCCAAUGUUUUCUUUUUGGCAGUUUCAGCCCCUUUAGUAAAAAGAUUUUCAUUUAUAACCCAAACUUUUCGCAACUUUUACAAAUUUGACCCAAAAUCCAAAAACUUCACAUUUUUAAUCCUUUUUGGCAAUAAGGUUAUGUUAACCCCUGAAAUAGAUUUAUUUACCUCUCUACCCGCUGUUUUGAGAAAUUUACCAUUUCAGCCCUUAAAACCAUAUUUUUUUUGCAAGUUUGGGUCUAUGGGCCGAAAAGCCUAAAAUUUUAGCCUAAUAGGCUACAAUUUACAUUUAUAGUCCUUUGAAAAGCAUAAUAUACAUAAAAACUUAUAUUUUAACUGUUUUGACCCUUUUGAUCCUUGUAAAAGUCGUAAAUGACAACUUUUUCCCAACUUUUGUUUAUUUCACAAAAGUAGUCUAAAAAUGAGUUUUAUGUUGUAACUUGCUUAUUAUAACCUUAGAUGAUAAUUCUUCUUAACUUAUUAAGCGUAACACAUCCUAGAUCACAUAUUUUUCCCCCAUGAGCUAUAGAUCUCGAAUAUUUUUCAUUUUUGGCACAUAUUUACCAUAUAAACACAAGAAAUCACACAUAACAUAGAAAUACACAUAGAUCUACACAUUUUAAUUGUAUUCUCCCCCAUAAAACAUGUGAAAAACCAAAAAUAGAGGGGUAUGAACUCACCUUGAUUUGAUGUUCAUGGUUUUGAAGAAGAAAGGAUGAAAAUGAUGUGAUCUUUCGGCCUAACAAGCUUCUUUAGAAGUCUUUGGGCUUAGAUUGUUUCGAAGGAGUAUGACCAUGAAUUUGAAUGAAUUAAAAGAUGAUUUUUGAUGAGAUAUAGAAGUUAAAAUUUGGAUUUAAGUAAAAACUUACCAACAAUAUGUGUUAUGAGUGAAAGAUCUUCUUGGCAUGUAAGCAAGUCUCGAAAUUUUGAAGGAAGAAUGGAGAUGUUCUAGAGAGGAUUUGAUAGUAUUAGAAUGGAGUUUGAUAUGUGUGUGUGUUACUACCUUCGACCGAGAGGGAUAAAGAGAGAGGGGAGGAUUUCCACGUGGGUUAUUGGAUGAUGGAUUAGGAUCAUAAUCUAGAUGCAUGAGGUAUAAUUAGUAUGGAAAUCCUAUAUGUAAAAAUGAGGUGUCAACCUCUUUCCUAUGCAAUUUCUAUUUUUUUUUACGCAUGGGCCGAAAUGGGCCUAGUGGGAGAUGGUAUGAAUAAAUUUUGGCCCACAUCUAGCCUAGGUUCGAAAUCAUGAGGUUCUUAGAAAGGUUUUCAGCCCAUUGGGCUCUUUUGGAUAGUUUAUGGCCCAAUUUAGCAUAAAGGAAUGGAUUUGAGUCCAUUAAAGCUAAUUGAAUUUGUUAUGGCCAAUAAGGCCCAUUAUAGGUAAACUAAUCCAUUAUAGACCCAUUAUGGACCAAAAUGUUAAGUUUCAUGCAAGUGGGUUCAAUUAGGGUCCAUAUAAGGGUCCUAAGCCCAACAUAGUCAAAUUGGAAGCUUAUUGGUCUAUUAGGCCCACUAAGGAAAUCCUAUUCCAUAAUGGACUUAAACCAGGAUUUUUAGGGUUUCCAAUCAUUUGUCGACCAUUUGAAGUGUUUAUAUAGAGUGUUUGAUGGAAAUUUUAUUGUCAUUGAAUAAGCAUCAUUCAUGCUUUCAAGUUUUAGUUACAAUGUUAGUCUUGUUAAGUGUUUACAAAGCAUCAGAAUUCCUAGUUGUGAUAGCUUGCUGCUCUGUACUCUGUUUCACAUGUUAAAUCAGCUACAGCCUCAUGUUUGGAACUUUUCCAUGUUACUGAUCCUCCAUUUAGGGUAAAUACCCAGACCGAAUGAGAGCGAAAAUUCUCUUUAUCGGUCAGAAAACUGGCGUCACUAUACCUUGUCAGUCUCAAGUCAUCACUCCCACCGAGGGUAAGAACCCAAUCCUUAGUCCUCCGUAGGUAUUUAAGAAUGUUCUUUACUACAAUCCAGUGUGCUAUACUAGGAUUCCCUUGAUAGCGACUAACCAUGCUCAAAGCAAAAGCCAUAUCAGGGCGAGUACAUGUCAUAGCAUACAUGAUCGAGCCAACGACAGAAGCAUAUGGUACUCGACUCAUUUAUGCUGUUUUAGCAUCAGUAUUCGGACUUUGAGUCUUACUAAGUUUGGUAUUGCUCUGGAAAGGCAAUUCUCCUUUCUUGGAAUUCUCCAUGUUGAAGCGUUUAAACACCUUGUCCAAGUAGGUACUUCGACUAAGUCCUAUUAGUAUUUUACUCCUAUUUCUCAAUAUCCUUAUCCCUAGAAUAUAAGCAGCUUCCCCAAGGUCCUUCAUAGCGAAACACUUCCCAUGCCAGGACUUAACUUCCUGCAAGGUUGGAACGUCGUUUCCUAUAAGUAGUAUGUCUUCAAUAUACAAUACCAAACUAUACUCCUACUAGCUUUGACAUAUACGUAGGACUCAUCCUUGCUUCUCAAAAAACCAAAGUCUUUGACUUUCUCAUCGAAACAAAGAUUCCAUAUGCGAGAUGCUUGCUUUAAUCCAUAAAUGGAUUUCUCAAGCUUCACACUCUAUUAGGGUACUUCGCGUCUACAAAACCCUUUGACUGACUCAUGUAAACAUCCUAAGAGAACUUCCCAUUAAGUAAAGAGGUUUUGACAUCAGUCUGCCAUAUUUCAUAAUCAUGAAACGCAACUAUGGAUAGCAUAACCCUUAUAGACUUAAUCUUCACUACUGAUGAGAAGGAAUCGUCAUAGUCAACUCCAGGAGUUUGAGUAAAGCCCUUUGUAACCAAUCGUGCCUUAUAUGUGUGUACUUUCCCAUCCAUGUCGGUCUUCAUCUUGAAGAUCUAUUUGCACCCGACUGUCUUACGACCUGAUACAUUUUCAACCAAAUGCAAAACUUGAUUGUCAUACAUGGACAGAAUCUCGCUGUCCAUUGUCUCUUUCCAUUUAGCAGACUCAGGGCCCGCCAUGUCCUCCUUGUAGUUAGAUGGUUCAUCCAAAUUUACCAGGGUACUAUCACUGAUAAACAUAUAACCUUCCAUAGUAAUAUGAAAACCAUAAAACUCCAGUGCCAUCCUAACUCGAGAGGAAUGUCGAAGAGGUAAUGACUCAUCAACUGGUUCAACAUGAGUUUCCUCCUCAGCUUGGGCGCUAGUGUUAGAGGUUCCUUCAUCUCUUAACUCUUGAAGCUCUUUAACGUCAAUUUUCCUCCCACUGUCGUCUUGGCAUAUGAGCUUUCUCUCGCGAAAGAAUCCUCUACUCGCAAUGAAGACAACAUUGUCACUCGGUCUAUAAAAGAGAUAUCUAAAAGACUUAUGCGGGUAGCUGAUGAAAAUACACUGCUCACUACGAGGUUCGAGCUUUUCGUGAGUUUCAUGUCUUAUGAAAGCCUCGCAACCCCAAACCUUGAUAUGUGCUAACGAGGGAACAUUCCCUGUCCAUAUUUCGUGAGGUUUUUGGCAACCUUCUUAGUUGGGACUAGAUUAAAGAUAUGUGCGGCAUUCUCUAAGGCAUACCCCCGGAAUGAGAUAGGUAACAAAGCUCGAUUCAUCGUGGAAUGAACCAUGUCCAACAAGGUUCAAUUGCACCUCUCAGCCACACCAUCAGGCUGUGGUGUCCUAGGUGGUGUCAACUACGAAAUAAUUACACAUUCCUUAAUAUAGUCAUGGAACUCGAUACUAAGAUACUCACCACCUCGAUCGGAUCGGAGUAUCUUUAUCUUCCUGCCCAAUUGAUUCUCCACUUCUUGAUAAAACUCUGUGAACUUUUCAAAGGUUUCUGACUUGUGCUUGNCUAUCGGAUCUGAGCAUCUUGAUCUUCCUGCCCAAUUCAUUCUCGACUUCAUGUUUGAACUCUUUGAACUUUUCAAAGGUUUCUGACUUAUGCUUGAUUAAGUAUAUAUAUAUAUAUAUAUCCAUAUCUGCUAUAUGUUGGAUUAGGUGUCUAAUCCUAUAACUAUAAUUGGUAUGUACUUGACCCGAGAGUAGCAUGGUCCAUUUGGGUUGCCUUCACCAGAACAAAUUGAUAGGAUGGAUAUUUGAGAAAGAGGUUAUUUAUGAUUUAUUAAUAUAGUAUAAAUAUAAUAUAUUAAUAGUGAAAUCAUAUUAUUUAAAUAGUAUUGAUCAAGAAUUAAUUUGGAAUUAAUUUAGUGAUCAAAAGUGACUAAUUAAAUUAACAGGGACUGAUUAUGUAAAUCAGUGAUAUAUAUAUUGUUUGGGAUAUUGAUCCAUGUUGGGCUAAGUUUAUGUAAGAGCUAGCCCACUUGAGAUAUGGAUCAUAUUUUAAGUGCAUGAAUUAGGGUUUGCCCAUGAGUCUUGGAAUCCUACACUAUAUAUGCAUUUCCCUAAGGCUAAAAAUCAGACCUAAUGAGUUCUAAGAGAAACCUAGCCGAGUUUGGUAGUGAUUAACCUCUCUCUCAAUGUCCUCCUUUGUUCAUGGUGCUUGUGAACCAUUUGAGGCAUCACAGUUGAUGUGCUAAGCUCUUGAAAGGCUAAAACUACAAGCUACAAUUUAGAGGUAUUCUUCUAAUUCGAUUUUAUGAUUCAUGUACCAAAAUUGUAUGCUAGUUGUAGGCUUCAUGCUUUGUAAAAUUUAUUGCAUGUAUUACUUGAGAAAUCAUAGAUCCAAAGCUAUUAGGGUUGCGUGUGCACCAUAGGAGUGUUAUAGUGCUUAAAACACAAUAGUGGUAUCAGAGACAUGGCUAGUUUUCUAUUAUAUUUGAUGCUUGGUUAUUUUUCAAAGCUGAAAAAAUUGAUUUUUUGGCCUCUGACCGAUGAACUCGCCGACUCCACUCGUUAAAAGGGCAACUCGAUGAGUCAUGCUAAUGAACUUGUUGAGUAGAGACUUCUGGUUGUAGAAUUUCGAGUUUUCGGCCAUUAUUGUAUUAGGAUCAUUACCACAAACUAUUUUGUAAUCAUAAAAAAUCAUAUUUUUCUUAUAUGGUAGUGAUUAUACUCAUCUAAUCAAAAGAUAAUUGUCAACGUAUGUAAGAUAAUUGUUGCUUUAUAUGAUAUACAAAGUUACUUGAAAAUUGUUGAUUUGAUAUUAUCUUGCUAUAUGAGUUUAGUUUGAUUAAUCAUGAAUUAUAUGAUAAUUUUAUUUGUUGAAAUUGAUCUAAAUGUUUUUUUUAAUGAAUUCCAUAACUUGUCCUCAAAUUUUGGAACAUGAAAAGUCUCAUCCAUUAAAAUAACAUUAAACUCAUAAGUUAUGGAAUUCAAGAGUCUUGGAUGGUUACAAAAUUUGUCAUCAAGUUUUGGAAUCCAAAAGGUUUUGAAGAGUUUCAAAACUUGCCAUCAAGUUUUGGAAUUUGAAAAGUUUAAUUAAAAAGGUUUUAAUUUGUAAUAUUGAAUUCUAAAACAUCUAGUAAUUGAAAGGUUUCAAAAGAUGCAUCUCUAGGGUUUAUAACUUAUUAAUUAUAUAGUUUUAAUUUUGAAUUUUUAAUAACCUAGAUGAUUUGAAUAGUUCAAUUACACCUUAUGGACUUUAUUAAAUUAAUUAAAGUGUUUAAUUAAAAGUGAAGUUUAAUGAAUCCAUAAUAACAUGGUUUAAGAUUAAUUAAAUUAAAAGCAUAAUUUAUUAAGAGAUUAAACCACCAAGUAUUUGAAAUGUUUAAAAUACACACUUAUACUAUAUAAAAUUAAAAUUUGAAUAUAUUAUAUAUGCAUAAGUAAAAGGUCAGUCUUACCGUUAGUAGGCCUCCUUCACGAUGCCAUUCUAUAAGGAGGGUAUAAGGUUACUGCCUAUAAAAUGACGGUUUAAUGGGUGUCCAUUCUCACUCAUUGCUUCCUUGACUGGUGGAGGGUCGUUAGCCGAACGGGUAGGAUAAGAAAUUAAUUCUCAUUAAAGGUAUAAUGAAAUACCAAGUAAGUAAAUAAUUCUGUAAAUUCCCAAUCUUAGUUACAUAGGAAAAAUGUGAAUUUGAUGCUAACCCGUGAAAUUGCACAUUGCACCCUAUUAGUCGUUAGUGGAGCGUGUGUGGUUAACCGACACAAUAAUCUCGGACUAAUAGAGGAUGACAAUGUGUAGCUCAAUGUUAAUCAUAGAUAAAUGGAGUGUGUUGUUGGAUAAGGUGUCUAAGUCCAUAACUAUUUCGGGCUUGUACUUGACCCGACCCGGCAUGGUCCAUUUGGGUUGCAUGGCACCAUGCAAUUGGUUAGACUAAAUGAGAGAAAUAACACUUGGAGAUUAUUAAUAUAUUAUAAGUUCUAAUAUAUUAAUAAUAUUAUUUGAUUAGUUUGAUCAAGAAUUAAUUUGGAAUUAAUUAAGUGAUCAAAGGUUAACUAAUUAAAUAUAUGGGUUCAUCCAUAUCUUGUAUAGUGGGCUAAGAGGCUCCAUGGAUUAUCAAGUUGGGUUCUACCCAUAGGAUGCUCCAUGGAUGCUCCAUGGGAGUUACAAACCCAUGGGUCAUGGAAAUGAAGAGUCAUGACACAUUAGGGUUUACAUGGUGUAACCCUAGAUGUGUCAACACUAUAUAAGAAUCAUAUUCUCCACCAAAAUCGGCUACACUAAGAAACUAGAGGGCUUGGCCGAUUUUGAGAAGUGUGUGUUAUCUCAAGAGUCUUUCCAAGAGCAUUUGGUGUUGUGUGAAGCAUUUGAGGCAUCACACUUGGGGUGCUAGGCUCACAAGGUUUCAAGGAACACAAGCAACAACAAGGUAAGUUAUUCUAUCUAUGAUUCAAGUUAAAAUUGUUCCCCAUGUAUGCUAGAUAGGAAUAUAACCUUGGAAUUCAACUUUGCAUGAUAAUUAGACAAACAUAGAUCCAAGGUUAUUAGGGUUGCAUGUACACUUAGGAAGUGUUAGAAUGCUCAAAACCCAUCAGUGGUAUCAGAGCCUAGGCUUGUUUGUUUGUUAUUUGUGCUUAAAAGUUGAAGAAAGUCGAAAAUCUUGCUGUCUGACUGAUGGACUCGGCGAGUCCAUGGGGAGGACUCGACGAGUUCAUGUGUAUCUUCAACCUACUCGGCGAGUAGGUUUAUGCACUCGGCGAGUAGGGUCGACAGAGUGCAGAAUUUCGACUUGUGUUGCUGGAAAUGGAUUAGAAUCAUUACCCUAAAAUGUUUUGGUACUUGAAAACUUAUUUUAGAAGGUGUAAUGUCUUUUCUAACUCAUUUACAACAACUAGUUAUCAAAAUUACAAAGAUUAAAUGUGAUUUUGAUUCUUGAAAGUGUUCAUAUUCAUAUUCUUGUUCUUAUGAUGUUUAGAUGAUCAUAGGAAUUAUUUGUAACCUAUGUGGUAGAUUAAUUCAUGAUCAUAAUGUGUUUUAAUGGAGUCCAUAACUUGUCCUCAAGUUAUGGAAAACCAAAAGUCUCUUGGAUUAAAAAACAUUAAAAGAACACAAGAGUUAGGAAAAAUGAAAAGUCCUCAUUUUAUUACUCUAUUAAACUCAUAAGUUACAAGAAAUGAAAAGUUUUGAAAGUUUACAAAACUUGCCCUCAAGUUUUGGAACAAGUAAAGUUAAGUUAAAACUUUAGUUCCAACCCCUAGAAUUUUAAAAGUUAAAAUUCAACCCUUAUACUUAUAUUAUUAUGAUUUAAUAAUUAUAUAUAUAUGUAUAAGAACAAAGUCGUCUUACCGCUAGUACGCCUCAUUCACGAAGCCGGUCUAUAAGGUGGGUAUAAGGUUGUUGCCUAUAAAAUGGUGACUUAAUGGGUGUCCACUCUCACCCACCGCUUGCUUGAUCGGUGGAGGGUCGUUAGCCGAACGGGUAAGACAAGGACUUAUUAAUUCUCAUUCAAAGUAUGAUGAAUAUUAUAAAGUAACUAAAUGUUUUAUUAAAUUCCCAAUCUUAGUUACUUUAGGAAAAAUGUGAAUAAGGUGCUAUUCCAUGAAAUUACACUUUACACUUUGAUUAAGUCGUUGGUGGAGCGUGUGUGGUUAACCGGCACACUAACUUGGACUUAACAAGGUAGGUAAAGGGUGACUUAGGGUUUAUUAUAGUAUCGAUGGAGCGUGUGUGGUUAACCGGCACAUCGAUUGAGUGAUAAACUUUAAGGGUACCAAGUGAUUUGCAUGGUUACUUCACACCUCGUUUUGUGAUCCUCGGUAUCCCAGUCACAAAACUUGGAGGGCACACUCGAGAUUGAAACAUGCCUUUGAAAAGUUCAUUGAAUCUCAAAGAAUCUAGGAAUUUCUAAGAACCAUUCAAAAACCUAAUACUAAAAUAUUGCGGUUUUCGUGGUGGAAAUUGGUGAAUCGUCAUUCACCUACCUUUCAAAUAUGAUAUAGCUUAGAUUACGGCAUACCUCUUCUAAGUUAUAUUAUAUUGUGAUUGGAUCCUAGCCUUAAUAUUACAUUUGGGUGUUUUAUUAAGGACUCUCUUAUAUCUAAACUAAUCUUGUCCUCUUUCCUUCAGAUGUCUUUCAACAAUGCUUCUGGCUCUAAUCCUAAUGGCUCCUUUACCCUUAUGAACUUGUGUGGGAAAGUCACCUUUGAUGGAUCCAACUUCAAUGAGUGGAUCAGAAACAUCAGGAUGAUUACCCGCUACGAGGACAAAGAAUAUGUCCUUGACAAGGAGCUUAAGGAGAUUGAUGAGUCCACUGCAACUCCUCAGGAGAUCGCUGAAUUUCGGGCACAUGAAAGGGAUGCUACGAAAGUGGCUUGCAUCAUGAUGGCCACGAUGACAGCGGAACUCCAAAAGUCUUAUGAGGAUUUCUACCCUUAUGAAAUGCACCAAGAUUUGAUGGAAAGAUACCAUCAAAGUGCAAGACAAGAGAGGUAUGAAAUCAUCUGCUCCAUGAUAACAACCAUGAUGAAGGACGGGGAAUCCGUCACGAGCCACAUGCAGAAAAUGCAAAGGUAUGUGGAUCGUUUGCUGAAGCUUAAUGUGAACUUCCCGGAGGAUCUUGCAAUAGAUAUUAUUUUGCAUUCCUUACCAUCGUGCUAUGAUCAAUUCCGCAUGACAUAUCACAUGAACAAGGAAGAAGUCACCCUCAGCAAACUUCAGGGACUUCUCAAGACCGCAGAAUCAGGUCUUAAGGGGAAGUCGGUUGCUAUCACUCCUACUCAAAACUCUACUCCGGUUUUGGCAAUCGGGAAAAGUCGAGGGAGGAAGAGAAAGAGCUCUUCUAAGGGUACCAAGGUUCGGACCCUUGAUGGCUCUUCUUCAAGUGGAACCAAGAAAGGUUUCAUUACUCCUUCUUCUGACCCAAAAGAGGCUGAAUGCUUCUAUUGCCAUGAAAAAGCUCAUUGGAAGCGGAACUGCCCAAAAUACCAGCAAGAUGUGAAGGAUGGGAAAGUUAAACCCAACCAUGCAGGUAUUUACACUAUCAUUUCUAAUAACUCACCCCAUUCUAAUUCUUGGGUCCUUGAUACCGGGUGUGGUAUUCACAUUUGUUGUGACUUGCAGGGACUAAGAAGAAGUGAGGAUGUGGAGCAAGGAAGGAUAAACUUGAUCAUGGGGAAUAGGAAAGCUAUACCUGUUACCAAGAUUGGAGUUUAUACUUUAUCGCUAAGUAGUGGGUUUAGUUUAGAUUUGAAUAAGUGUUGUUAUUCGCCAGGAAUGGCAAGAAAUAUUAUUUCCUUUCAUGCUUUGUACAAACAAGGGUUUACCUUUUCAUUUAAUAAUGAAGUUGGUUCUAUAGAUGUUUUCUAUAAUAAUGUCUUUUAUUUUAAAGCAUUACCUUGUGAUGGUGUGUAUGAAGCUGUAUCUGUUGUAGAUAACUUGGGAAAUAAUGUUUUGUGUAUUGAUUCUACUAAUAAUAACUUGGAUAAAGCAUCUUUAUGGCAUUGUCGUCUUGGACAUAUAAGCAAGAAACGCAUAGGCCAACUCCAAAAGGAUGGAGUCUUGGAGUCGUUUGACCUAAAGUCAGAUGAUAGUUGCGAAUCAUGCUUACUUGGAAAAAUGACAAAGUCACCCUUCACAGGUUCGUGUGAGAGGGGUGAAGGUUUGUUGGACCUUAUACACACGGAUGUGUGUGGACCAUUCAAACAUGCCACAAGGGAUGCUAAUCGUUAUUAUUUGACUUUUACUGAUGAUUAUAGUAGAUAUGGAUAUGUCUACUUGAUCAAGCAUAAGUCAGAGACUUUCGAGAGGUUUAAGGAAUUUAAACAGGAAGUCGAGAAUCAAUUGGGCAGGAACAUUAAGAUGCUUCGAUCCGAUCGUGGUGGUGAGUAUCUUAGUUCAGAGUUCCUCGACUAUCUAAGGGAAUGUGGGAUAGUCUCACAAUUGACACCUCCCAGGACACCACAGUUGAAUGGUGUGGCUGAGAGGCGUAAUCGAACCUUGUUAGAUAUGGUUCGUUCCAUGAUGAGUCGAGCUACGCUACCAAUCUCAUUCUGGGGGUAUGCCUUAGAGACUGCCGCCCAUAUUCUUAAUCUAGUCCCUACAAAGAAAGUUGCCAAAACUCCUCACGAGAUGUGGACUGGUAAAGUACCUAAACUAGACCACAUCAAGAUUUGGGGUUGCGAGGCUUUCGUGAGACGCGAGACUCAUGAUAAGCUCGAACCUCGAAGCGAGAGGUGUAUUUUCAUCGGUUACCCACAGCGAUCCUUUGGUUACCUCUUCUACAGACCUAGUGACAAUGUGGUCUUUGUAGCAAGAAGAGGAGUCUUUCGAGAAAGAGAGUUUAUAAGCCAAGGAGACAGUGGGAGGCAAAUUGAUCUUGAAGAAAUUCAAGAAUCAAGCGGUGAAGGAACUUCAAACUCUAGCCCUCAACUUGAGGAGGAAACUCCUGUUGAGCCAAUUGACAAAUCUGUACCUCUGAGACGUUCCACGAGAGUUAGGAGUGCACCUGAGCAUUACUAUGGAUUCCAUAUUACUGCAGAAGGUGAGACACUUAUUAGUGAUGAGACACUAGUAAGUCAAGAUGACCCUAACAGCUACGAGGAAGCCAUGGCAGGCCCCGAGUCUGCUAAAUGGAAAGAGGCUAUGGAUAGCGAGAUACAAUCCAUGUAUGACAAUCAAGUUUGGAACUUGGUUGAAAAUGUACCAGGUCGUAAGACAGUAGGGUGCAAAUGGGUCUUCAAGAAGAAGACCGACAUGGAUGGUAAAGUACACACUUAUAAGGCUAGACUGGUUGCAAAGGGCUUCUCUCAAAUUCCUGGAGUGGAUUAUGAUGAGACCUUUUCUCCGGUAGCCAAGAUUAAGUCUAUUCGGGUUCUGUUAGCCAUAGCUGCAUUUCAUGACUAUGAAAUAUGGCAGAUGGAUGUCAAAACCGCUUUCCUUAAUGGAAAGUUGGCUGAAGAUGUUUACAUGAGUCAGCCAGAGGGUUUUGUCAGCAACGAGUACCCUAAUAGAGUGUGUAAGCUUGAGAAAUCCAUUUAUGGAUUGAAGCAAGCACCUCGCAGAUGGAAUCUUUGCUUUGAUGAAAAGGUCAAGGAAUUUGGCUUUUCUAGGAGUGAAGAUGAAUCUUGUGUGUAUGUCAAGGCUAGUGGGAGUAUAGUUAGCUUUUUGGUAUUGUAUGUGGAUGACAUACUACUCAUAGGAAACGACAUUCCAACCCUGCAGGAAGUAAAGUCCUGGCUUGGGAAGUGUUUCGCUAUGAAGGACCUUGGUGAAGCUGCCUAUAUUCUAGGGAUAAGAAUCUUGAGAGAUCGGAGUAAAAGACUAAUUGGACUUAGUCAGAGUACCUACUUGGAUAAGGUGCUGAAGAGAUUCAGCAUGCAGGAUUCCAAGAAAGGAGAGUUACCCAUCCAGAGUAACACCAGAUUGAGUAAGACACAAAGCCCUAGCACUGAGGCUGAGAUAGCAGAAAUGAGUCGAACACCUUACGCUUCGGCUGUAGGAUCGAUCAUGUAUGCUAUGACGUGUACUCGACCCGAUGUAGCUUUUGCCUUGAGCAUGGUUAGCAGGUAUCAGGCGAACCCUGGCAAGGCACACUGGACUGCGGUAAAGAAUAUCCUCAAGUACCUACGGAGGACUAAGGACUGGGUCCUUACCCUCGGUGGGAGUGAUGACUUGAGAGUUGUAGGGUAUAGUGAUGCUAGCUUCCAGACUGAUAGGGAUAAUUUCCGCUCUCAGUCGGGCUGGGUCUUUACCCUAAACGGAGGAGCAAUUUCUUGGAAGAGUUCCAAGCAAGAGACAGUGGCAGAUUCUACUUGUGAAUCAGAGUAUAUUGCAGCUAGCGAAGCAGCAAAGGAGGCGAUAUGGCUGAAGAACUUCAUUGGAGACCUUGGAGUUGUACCAGCUAUUAAAGAGCCAAUGGAAAUUUUCUGUGAUAGUGAAAGUGCUGUUGCCUUAGCCAAGGAACCAAGGGAUCAUGGGAGAUCCAGACACAUCGACAGAAAAUACCAUUUCAUUAGACAUCGGAUCGAAGAAGGACUCCUCGUGGCAAAGAGGGUAUCAUCGGAUGAGAACCCAGCAGAUCCCCUCACGAAGGGACUGAGUAGGGUUAAGCAUCUCCAGCAUGCUCGGAGCAUAGGGCUGAAGGAUGAUAUAAGUUUUAGUAGUUAGAUAACCCAGAAAUUUGUAAAGUGUAAUUGACAUUUGAUGAUGAAUAAAAGGUGUUUUAUUUAUGAGUAAAGUGUUGCUAUCUCUUGUCAAUCGUUUACUAUAUUUCUUUUGCAUGUUUUGACUUCCAGAAUAAUUUUGUUUGGUGUAACAUAUUAUUCAAACCUCCACAGUCGGUCAUAUGUCGGAAGUAGGUAUGAAUCAAGACUGUCAUGAUGGGUUGUAGAGGUCUAAGGUGUUGGACAAGGCUACAACAAUCAUGAGUGCUCAUAAGUUCUGAGCAUUGGACUCAACCCACGCUCACUGGAAUCACUUCAUGGAAUUCUAUCUCGAGUGAUCGUGAGACGGUAAUAUCAUAUAAGUCUUCAAACCUAGAGAUAUGAUUUGUUACUUACAAGUUGGUUAUGCAUUGACUGUACGAAACCGCAUUGGUAACUCGAUGUUAUAAAACGUACUUUUGUGUGUAAUUCAAUGAGUGGUAGAACAAACAUAUGAGUCGAAGUUUAUCUGUUCCUUCUUGGAUUAGAAGCUGAUAUCUGGGCCCCUCGAUGAUUUUGUUUUGACCCAUGUACCGGGCCCGGUCAGAACUAAGUUGAUGUGUUCAAUUAAGUUCUAUGUCAAACAAAUCGGAAAUCGGGAAACAAAUGCUGGACAAUAAGCAAGACAAUGUUCCAUGUAUUUGUCCGGCUGAUAUCUAGAACGGAGGAUUAUAUGAUCACUUAUCUUAAAUGGCGUACCAUCAUCUUCUCAGUUCCGAGAGACCUUGAAAGAGCUACGAUUGCCGGUCGGUUCCUGAAGUACUAGAGAUAUAGUUAUUAGACUUAUCCAAGUGGGAGACUGUUGGAUAAGGUGUCUAAGUCCAUAACUAUUUCGGGCUUGUACUUGACCCGACCCGGCAUGGUCCAUUUGGGUUGCAUGGCACCAUGCAAUUGGUUAGACUAAAUGAGAGAAAUAACACUUGGAGAUUAUUAAUAUAUUAUAAGUUCUAAUAUAUUAAUAAUAUUAUUUGAUUAGUUUGAUCAAGAAUUAAUUUGGAAUUAAUUAAGUGAUCAAAGGUUAACUAAUUAAAUAUAUGGGUUCAUCCAUAUCUUGUAUAGUGGGCUAAGAGGCUCCAUGGAUUAUCAAGUUGGGUUCUACCCAUAGGAUGCUCCAUGGAUGCUCCAUGGGAGUUACAAACCCAUGGGUCAUGGAAAUGAAGAGUCAUGACACAUUAGGGUUUACAUGGUGUAACCCUAGAUGUGUCAACACUAUAUAAGGAUCCCAUUCUCCACCAAAAUCGGCACUAAUAAGAAACUAGAGGGCUUGGCCGAUUUUGAGAAGUGUGUGUUAUCUCAAGAGUCUUUCCAAGAGCAUUUGGUGUUGUGUGAAGCAUUUGAGGCAUCACACUUGGGGUGCUAGGCUCACAAGGUUUCAAGGAACACAAGCAACAACAAGGUAAGUUAUUCUAUCUAUGAUUCAAGUUAAAAUUGUUCCCCAUGUAUGCUAGAUAGGAAUAUAACCUUGGAAUUCAACUUUGCAUGAUAAUUAGACAAACAUAGAUCCAAGGUUAUUAGGGUUGCAUGUACACUUAGGAAGUGUUAGAAUGCUCAAAACCCAUCAUGUGUGUGGUUAACCAGCACAUUGACUAGGUGAUUUGUAACAUUAAGUGUACCGAGCUAAAUUGCAUGGUUAUUCACACCUUGUUUGUGAUCUUCGGCAUCCCAAUCACAAACUUGAAGCACAUAAUCAAGAUUUAAACAUGCCAUUGAAAAGUUCAAUGAAUCUCAAAGAAUCUAGGAGAUUCAAUUCAUUUAAAACCUAAAAUUCAUUUUCGUUUUUCAUGAUGGAAAUUGGUAAAUCGUCAUUUACCUACCUUCAAAUAUUUUACAAUUGGAUUAAGGCAUCUAUCUUCCGAAUUGUAGAAUAUUGUGUUGGGUCCUAGCCUUAAUAUUUCAUUUUGGGUGUUAUAUUAAGGACUUAAAUCAACUAACUUGAAUUUCAACCAUUAUAGAUGUCUAGGUCAGACAACUAUGGUCUUCCCAAAUAUUUUAGAAAAAUCUUUCCUUAUAAAUAUGAUGUCCCAUGAUUGGAUUGUGGAAAUGGAAAUCAUACUACGCGUCCUCCACCUCUUCCAUUAAUUCUCCCUAACCCACAAGUUCAAAGACUUGAAAAGUUCAAGGUCACUCAAUCCCUAUUGGCUAGCAAACACCAAGAUGGAAGGUUUAUGUGUACACAUGUCUUGGAGAUGAAGUCACACAUUGACAGACUGUGAAUGUUAGGAGUCGUUGUGUCGAGGAAGUUGACUGUUGACUUCGUUCUUCAGCCACUUCCCGAGUCGUAUAGUCAGUUUGUUAAAGACUACUAUAUGACAGACCGCGACGUGACCCUUAUUGAUCUUACCUAUUUGCUAAUUUCUGCUGAAUCAACAAUGAUUUGGCUGCCACACCCCCAAACCGGAACGGCGGAAACGUUCGGGGGUAGAUGACUUCAUGUACAAUAUCAUAACAAUGUAAAGUAGUAAACAAGCAACAACAUCAUCCAUUGCAUUAAUAGUAUAGUUUAAUACAUGUGUGUUCUUUCAUAGUAAUAUGGCUGGAAUCGGUAUCUGUCUAUUGAAGACCUGAGAAUACAAGUUAUUUUGAAAGCGUAGGUCAGCAUUUAAGCUGGUGAGUUCAUAAGUAUUUAAUGUCAUUGUUUGCAUAAGUAUGAAGAAAACGUUUGAAAUUGUUCAAUGCAAUUUGUUUGUAUAAAACUGAAUAAAAUGGUUUGGAUAUAUUUGAAAGUUCCUAGAAAAUCCCAUAUUUUCUACUAGUAUAUAAGUAGCUUUCUACCAAGACCCGACUGAUUUGAAUGUUUACUUCUAGGAAUCCGAUGUUUUUCCAUAAGUGGGUGUCAGUUUAAAAGUUCCAAAACUGUAACACAAUGAUGUUUUUCAUACCUAAAUAGUAGAUUUAUGUAUGUAUAAAAUUACUAACGCAUUUGAUGACCCUGUAAAUCAACGUGUGUUUUUAAUACUCCAUGUGAGUUUUAUAACCAUACUAAUUACUCAGGCUGCCUGUCACAACGUUCUUUAGGCGUUGGAAUGUUAUGACCUUUGUCACCCCAGACCUGCCGGUCUAACUAUAGCUAACAGUUUAGGUGCGGGAUUGUCAAUCCCGUAUAGAUCUAUACACAAGUAUCACGCUCUCCCUACAAGAGAUUAUGAUAUAUAAUACAGGACUUUAACUGCAUACUUAAAAGUAUGUGAAGUUGAACGUUUCACAAAACUUAGUAUCAAAAUAUAUUUACGUAUGAAAAGUCCAUUUGUUCUUGUAUAUGAAAGUAUUUCCUUGAUGUAGUACUUAUAGAAUGUAAAAUCUCAUGAUUACCUUGUAAACUAUACCUAUUAUAGUUUUUCCAAAAGUGUGUUUCGUUUGAAUAGUAAACCGUAGUGUAGUGUCGGCUUUGUAUGUGUAGUAUAACAUUUGCAAUAACAUUAUCGAACAUUUAUUCUCAAAAUAUAAAUAAAGUGUUUGAUAUUUAUAUAAGACAUGUUUUAUUCCCAAAAGGAGAAGACGUUAUCGUGACAUGUUUUGCAUUAUGUUAUAAUAUUUGUAUAUGAUAGUAUUUCUCCUAAACUAUACCUAUAAUAGCUUACUAGUAAUUUGUGUAAUUUGAAUGAAAGUAUACCUUUGCUACCCAAAGGUAUUGAAAUGAUUGAAUAGUACUUUUAUAUCUACAUAUGUACACAUAAUACAUAAGUUUAAAAGGAAGUUUUGUAAAACAUUUAAAGAGUUGAAUAAUAAAUAUUGAUGACUUGAUGUCAAUGUAUAAAAUGAUUUAAAAAUUAGUUUGUUUGAUAAGAUAGUGUAAAGUAAAAGAGACCUUUGCUCUAAAUGCAGUUAUAAAGUAUAUGAAAUCAUUUGCUUGAAACACAGUUAUAAAUCACAUAUGAUUGAUUAUAUAACAAAAGGUAUAACAAAAGAUUUAUGUCUUUCACACGAGGAUAACCGUGUGUUUACUUGUAUUCCCCCCCCCCCUAAAAGUGUAUAAAAAGCAUUUAUAAAGCAUUUGAAAGUGUAGUUUAUAGGGGUAUGAACUCACUUGAUUGAAGUGGUGGCUUGAANNNNNNNNNNNNNNNNNNNNNNNNNNNNNNNNNNNNNNNNNNNNNNNNNNNNNNNNNNNNNNNNNNNNNNNNNNNNNCCCCCCCCCCCCCCCUUAAAAGUGUAUAAAAAGCAUUUAUAAAGCAUUCGAAACUGUAGUUAUAGGGGUAUGAACUCACUUGAUAGAUUGAAGAAGGUGAGACGAAAGUCGAGCAGAACUUCGAAUGGAAAGAAGUCGAUUUCUCGGAAAUCUCGGGAUUUCAGGACUUGCAUCGUGUGUUGGAGAUGUUAUCGGGGAUUCGGGGUAGUCUCGGGAUGCUUGACACAGAGUAAAAGUAGCAUAAAAGGUAGAAUUGAACAGCCAAAACCUAAAACCUUCGGUUUCUAUUUAUAGGGCUGAAUUUGCACCUCGCCACGUCGUGGCACCUUUUCCCACGUCGUGGUAGCUGGUCGUCACUGCAUGCGUCAUCACAAGUGGUUCUGACAGGCUCCAGAGCAUCCGCCACGUCGUGGCACUGUCACCACGUCGUGGUGUCUGACGCAACUUUGGGGUUCGCGCCCCGAACUUCAGAAAUUCAUAACUUUCGCAUACGAACUCCAUUUUCGACGUUCUUUAUAUCGAUGCGUAGGUGAGAUUAUGCUCUACAAAUCUCGUUUAGACUCCGUUGGCUAAUUCUGAUGUUAUUUUUAAUAUAUUAUUAUUAUAUUAUUACUAGUAGGCCGGAACACGAAAACUCCGUCAUAAAUUCAUAACUUCUUCAUCCGACGUUCGUUUUCGUUAGACUUUUUACCGUUGCGCUACUAUUGUUGAAACCUUCGAUUCUCGUUUAGGUUGUUUCGGCCAAAAGUCUCUCAAUCUCUAUUUCGAGUUUUUAGCUGUCUACUGCUAUAUCCGGAUCUUGGAAAAAUCAUAACUUCCUCAUACGAAGUCAGAUUUGGACGUUCUUUUUAUGUACGUUUACGGUUUAAUGAUGUCUACAACAUUCAUUUAGAUACCAAAGGAAAAAAGUUAUUGUAUUGAAACUUCGCGUUUUACGUCUAUCAGUGUUGCCGGUUUUUGCCACGAAUCUUAGAUUGGUCAUAACUUCUUCGUUAUAACUCGGAUGUUAGUGUUCUUUAUAUGUACGAAAACCUUGAUAUGAUUCCUACCACUUUAUUUAACCCAAAUAAGAUUUUAGGAAAGUUAAAUUUUGACCUAAAUUUGACUGGUGUUACAUUAUAUUGUCUCGAAAUAUCGGGUUGUCACAUUGGCGCACCGGUAAUGCAAAUUUGAUUGAAAGAUCUAUUUACCAAACUUCCAUGGACAUUGACAAUGGAAACAUUGGAAGUCCAGAAAAGAUUUCUCUUCCCAAGGGAAUGAGAAAGGCUAAGAUUGUGAUUGUCCCGUGUACCAUUCCAAAGAAUCUAUUUGGUUCUAUUGCUAGUAGAAAGGGCAUUGGUUGCGAAGCUUCCGUAACUACCUGAAGGACCACAAGGAUGGUAAAGUCAAAAUGUUUGACUCUGCUUCAGGUAAGUCCACUAUCUAACUCCAUUAAGUUCUUAUUUGGAGAUUCUUAAUACAUGCUGUAAAGUUACAUUUUGAUGUUUUGUAGACUCAAAGAGAAAGAAGGAGGCUUAAAGGAAAUGUAACCUGAAUCUGAUUGCAACGAGAUGGAUUUUGAUCUCUUGGUUCGAUGAUCAGAUUUUUGAGCUGCUAUUUAGGAGUUAUGAUAGAAUGCUUAGGAAUGUUUAAAAUCAUAGAUUUCAUAUGUACUUGCAUUGUAAGGAAAAGGUUUUCCGCAUUUCAUAAAUAAAGGAAAAUUUUGAUUUUAUCUUAUUUUAUACUUCCUUGUAAUGGCAUUUGUGAAAAUUGAUAUUUGUAUAUUUCUAUUGUUAGAAAUGUUGAAAAUGGAUUUGAUUCUUUUGGUUGUGGUAGUGUCAAAAUUUACCAAAUAAGGAAAGAUUCUCAUCACCCAAGUUUCGGUUAGAUAGAAACUUGGAAUCAUGCAACUUCUAUUGUGUGAUGUAUAAGAACUUUUGUUUUUGGGAAAUUAAGACUAAUUCCUUGUUCACAUAUAUGUGUGAGUCAAGUGAAGGAUUAGGGGAUCUAGUACACAUAGUUGUGCACUGGUCAGGUCUACUACAAAGCAUGAUAAGACUAUUCAUUAUGGUUUACUAAAAGUUUAGUAAAUAUGGUUAUGCUUACAAGAUUAAGUAUAAUUUUGAGCCAUUAUAAAGGUUUCAAUAGAUAGCAUAACAAAUAAGUAGAAUCAAAUUAAGAAGAAAGAUAAAAGUUUCUCCAAUCUGAAAAGAAGGGAGAGUACUUGAGUAUCGUGUUUUAUGAUCAUCUUAGUGAUUAUGGAACCAUAUCACAAUUGAUCCUCUAAAGUGUACUUGUAUGGCUAAGAAGAGGAAUCGGGGAUUGUUGAAAUUGAUAAAUCAAGAAGAUGAAUCAUACUUCGUUCCAAAAUCAAGUCUUAGAGUUGUACUCCAAGAUCGAGCCUUGAGUGACAUAAUCUUAAGAAAGUUUUAUAACACUUAUCAAAUGUAGAGUAAAAUGUUUCUUACUCUUGUACAUUUGAAAUUGGUAAGUUGUGAUGAUUUGGAUAACACAAAGAUCAACUAAGACCGAUUGUUAGAAGUGUUUGAAUUGAUAAGAAACCACACUAACUCUUGAAUGUUUGUUUGUCAAGUAAUGUUUUUUUGACAAGAGAAUCUUAUAUGUCAAGUGGUCAGUGGGAGCCUUAAAGAUCUUGAAAAGUUUCAAGAACCAAUCAAGAAUAAACAUGUUAUUAAUCACUAGCACACGACUUAAGGUUUCUAACCUAUCGUGUUGACAUAUCUUGUUUCUAUGCCCAUUCCAGUUAAAGUUGACUAUGCAUGUGAAAUCUAUGAGUAUUCAAUUGUUUACAUAAGGCAAAGCACCUUUAUUAGUGAAAAUUCAUUAAUCAGUAAGGGUGAGAUGCUCAGCAAGUUGGAAAACAUGGUAGGUCCUCAGGCUACCAAGUGGCAAGAAAUUAAGAUUGAACAAGUUCAGUCCAUAUGAGUUUAAUAUUGUCUUGUGAUUAUGGUUAUCAAAAAUUCACAUGGAUAAGAACACAUACACCAUAAAAUCUAAGUGUCAUAAGGUUUCUCUUCGAUUCAUGAAAAUGAUGGUGAGGAAACGCUUUCACUAAGUAGAUUUUAAGGAGAUAGCAAUUGUGAUAUUUGCAUUCUCAAAUUUGAUUAUGAUUAUGGCAUCCUUCUUUACAGUUCGAAUUAUGAGAAAUGGUAAAAGGUCUAAACAUUUUAGACUUAUUGUUGUAAGUUCUAAAAUUUUUUAGACACGUAUGUGAUCUAUCUAAGGAAAGGUGUAUGAAUUUGAGAAGCCUAGUAAAGUCUUAUCGAAGUGUCUUGUGUCAGAAAUUUGAACUUUGGUAAGAAAGUAAACAAGUAUUGAUUUCUAGAAGUCCAACUUAUUUCUGGGUACAUGUCAAAGCUAGUGGGAGCAUAAGUGUUAUGCUAGUAAGAUAAUAAUUAUUAUGCUAGUGGGAGCAUAAUUAUUAUGGUAAGUGUUGUGAGUUAGCAAUGUUAAUUAUAGAAAACAAAGGUUUUAAUUCGCAAAGUUUUAGGGUUUAAAAAGUUGUUUUGCUCUAAUUAAGGGAGAGGAACUUAUACUUCAUUUCAAUUCUAAGAUUUUAGAUUGAGAUUUUAAUCAAUUUUAGUCGAGAACAUAUACAAAUGUUAUGUUGAAAAGAUUCAACAUAAGGAAAUUCUAUAUAUGAAAAUGUUAUAGCAAGAGACUGGUAAAGUGUCAGGUCUUUAUGUAAGACAUUAUGAAUCAUUUCCCAUAUGCUUCGGAUAUUGGAUCGAUUGCAUGUGCUAUAAUAUUCACAUGUUCUAAUUUUUCCCAAUACCUAGGGCAUUAAGAGGGAAAAAGGACUAGAACCUGAUAUAACUAAAGUGGUUAUGCAACUGUCAAGGACAAUCUAUGGUUCACUUAGGAUUGGUUUCUUAAGGACAGUUGGAAGUAUAGUAAUGAAUGGACGAUAUUGAUAUAAUUCUGAAUAGAUAGGAUUCUAUUAAGAAUGGAUAGUCGUAUGGUAGUUAUGGAAAUGUUUCCAUAAUAGGAGUUGGAUAUCAAGAAUCUAUGAAUAAGUUAGAAACUUUUAUGCAAGAAGGAUGUUCAAAGGAAUGUACUUUGAAUGAGACUUCUUAUUCAUGGAAUUGUCUUGUAACAAUCUCCAAUGGAAAGAUUUGUAAUUGGCAAAGUCUUUCUGACUUGUGUACAUAGUCAUUACAAAAGGAUCACUGCAUAGAAGCUUAGAAUCUAACAGAUUACAGUAAGUGACAAGGAAUUAGUAUUAUUACACUUAUGAUAAGGAUUUGAAAUUGUAAAAUGAGUGAUAUUGGAAAUGUUUACCAUUGAUCUAUUUCACAAAGUGAGGACCAUAGGUAAACAUAGUGUGCAUGCUUGGAUCAUGGGAUGACUGUUGUUUUUGAUUUGAAGUGUAAAGUUGAUAAAUCAAAACAUUAUAUAAUGAAUGAUAUGUAAUCAAUAUGGUGAUUAAAUAAAAGGUGUUUUAUUUAUAUUCAAAAGCUUUAAGACCAUAUUGGAUUCAAUUAUUCUUGUGUUUCACUUUGCAUAUUUUGACUUCCCGAAUAAUAAGAUUAUUCAAACCAUCCACAAUCGAUCAUACAUUAGAAGUAGGUAUUGAGGCAAGACUGUUAUGAAUCCGUCUAUAGAUUGUCUAAGUGUUAGACAUAGCACAAGUUUGCUACAGUAUUCAUGAGUACUCCUAUAAUAAGAUUUGAGUAUUUGAUUAAACCCACGCUCAUCUGAAUCACUUCAUGGAUUUUAUCACAAGUGAUUGUGAGACGAUAGUAUCUUAUAUUCUUGAAACCAAGACAUGUGAGUUGUAGUUUACAAGUCGGUUACACAUUCACAUAUGUAAACAAACCAGUAACUUGGUGUUAUAAAACAUAUUGUUGUGUUUGAUUUGAUGAGUAAGUACAAACAAGCAUUUGAGUCAAAUUUUAUCCAUUCCUUUUACCCUAAGAGGGAUAAAAGCAAUAUUUGUGGGCCCUUCGAUGAUUUAGUGAUAACAACCCUAAGUGCUUGGCCAAGCAUGGACUGAUUUGAUUUGUUCAAUUAGUCAGUCGUCAAAAAUCGGAAAUCGGGAAAGAACACAUGAACAUACAGAAUGAUUAUAAUCCAUGACUCAGUUCAUAUGAUAUCUAGAAUGGAGGAAUAUAUGAUCCCUUUUCUAAUGGACGCGUCAUUGACUAGGUCAGAGUUUGACAACAGAUUUUGAGAGCUACGAUUGCUAGUCGGGAUUUUGGAGUCGUACUUGCAAUAAUAGUUAUUAGACUUAUCCAAGUGGGAGACUGUUGGAUUAGGUGUCUAAGCUCCUAACUAUAAUUGGUAUGUACUUGACCCAAGAGUAGUAUGGUCUAUUUGGGUUGCCUUCACCAGAACAAUCUGAUAGGAUUGAUAUUUGAGAAAGAGGUUAUUUAUGAUUUAUUAAUAUAUUAUAAGUAUAAUAUAUUAAUUUUUAAAUCAUAUUAUUUAAUUAAUAUUGAUCAAUAAUUAAUUUGGAAUUAAUUUAGUGAUCAAAAGCGACGAAUUAAAUUAAUGGGGACUGAUUAUGUAAAUCAGUGAUAAAUAUAUUGUUUGGGCUAUUGAUCCAUGUUGGGCUAAGUUUAUGUAAGAGUUAGCCCACAAGUGAUAUGGAUCAAAACCUAAGUGUAUGGAUUAGGGUUUACCCAUGACUCUUAGAAUCCUACACAAUAUAUGUAUUCCCUUAAGGCUAAAAAUUGGACCUAAGGAGUUUUAAGAGAACCCUAGCUAAGUUUGGUAGUGAUUAGCCUCUCUCUUAAAGUCCUCCUUUGUUUAUGGUGUUUGUGAACCAUUUGAGGCAUCACACUUGAGGUGCUAAGCUCUUGAAAGGCCAAAACUACAAGCUACAAUUUUGAGGUAUUCUUCUAAUUUGAUUUUAUGAUUCAUGUACCAAAAUUGCAUGCUUAUUGUAGGCUUCAUGCUUUGGAAAUUUUAUUGCAUGUAUAACUUGAGAAAACAUAGAUCCAAAGCUAUUAGGGUUUCAUGUGCACCAUAGGAGUGUUAUAGUGCUUAAAACCCAACAUUAUAAUCAUUGAUAAAAGUUACAUAGAAGCGGUUAGCAUCCCUUGUGGCGGAUAUGAAGGGUCCACACACAUUGGUGUGUAUGAGAUCCAACAAACCCUCACUCUUUCACAAGUACCAGUGAAAGGUGACUUGGUCAUCUUUCCAAGCAAACAAGAUUCGCACGUGCCAUCUGAGUUUAAGUCAAAUGACUCCAACACUCCAUUGUUUUGGAGUUGGGCUAUGCGCUUCAUGUUGACAUGUCCAAGACGACAAUGCCACAAGCAUGCUUUGUCCAAACCAUCGGACGAAUCAAUAUGAAAUAAAUUAUUUCCUAAGUUGUAUACAACCAUCAUAAUUUCAUAUAUACCAUUACAAGACAAUGCUUCAAAAUUAAACUUGUCUUUAUAGAGUAUUUAUAGAACCAAUUUCAAUAUUAAAUGAAAAUCUAAAACAUUGUUUAUACAAACCAUGAAAAGAAAUAAUCUUUCUCGCCAUAUCUGGAAAGUAGCAACAAUUAUUAAGCUAUAAACCUAACCCAUUACAAAUGAAUAAAGAAUAAACUCCAAACUUGGUGAAAGACGACGCUUUCCUUUUCCCCAUGAUCAAGUUCAUCUUCCCUUGCUCCACAUCCCUACUUCUUCUUAGACCCUUCAAAUCAGAACAAAUGUGAAAACCACAUCCUGUAUCAAGGACCCAAGAACUAGCAUGUGAUGAGUUAUUAGAUUAAAUAGUAUAAAUACCUGCGAAGGUGGGCUUUAUCUUCCCAUCUUUAAUGUCCUACAAGUAUUUAGGACAACUUCGUUUCCAGUGCCCCUUUUCAUGACAAUAGAAGCACCCUGCUUCCUUUGGAUUGGAAGAGGGAGCAACAAAACAAAUUUUGGACCCACUAGAAGAGGAUCCAUCAUGGGAAUUUCCCUUGUGGUUCUUGAAAGGAGCUUUCCUUUUCUUCUCUUUCCCAUGUCCAAUUACUAGGACAUGGGUAGCAGCAGUAGGGGUGGGUACAACGGAUUUGCCUUUUAAACUACUUUCAGCAGUUCUCAGAAGGCCUUGAAGCUUGCUUAGAGUGACUUCCUCCUUGUUCAUAUGAUAAGUGAUGUGAAACUGGUUGUAACAAGGAGGUAACGAGUGUAGGAUAAUAUCAAUAGUUAACUCUUCAUCAAAGUCGACAUUGAACUUUGCAAGCGGUCUACAUAUCUCCGCAUCUUUUGCAAGUGGGCCAUGAUGGAGUCUCCAUCCUUCAUUUUUGUUUUUAUCACGGAGGCAAUUAUUUGAUACCUUUCUUGUCAGGCACUCUGAUGGUACCUUUCCAUCAAGUAUUGGUGCAUCUCGAAAGGCCAGUAGUCCUCGUAGGACUUCUGAAGAUCAGAAGUCAUAGUGGCUAGCAUGAUGCACGACACCUUUGUCGUGUCCUUCUCAUGAGCCCUAUACUCAACCAAUUGCUCAGGAGUAGCAGUUUUUCAGCAAUCUCCUUUAGCUCUUUGUCGAGGACAUAUUCUUUUUCCUCAUAUCGAAUGGCCAUGAAAAUGUUUCGAAUCUAGUCAUUGAAAUUCGACCCAUCAAAAAUGACCCUCCCACAUAAGUUCAUAAGGGAGAAUGAGCCAGAAGUAUUUGAGUUAGAAGCAGACAUCUAAAAAGAAAGACAAGUUUCAUUAGAUAGCAAUUCCUUAAUAUUACACGCAAAUGAAAUAUUAAGGCUAGGAUCCAACACAAUAUUUCACAAUUCGGAAGAGGGAUGUCGUAAUCCAAUUGCAAAAUAUUUGAACGUAGGUAAAUGAUGAUUUACCAAUUUCACCACCCAAAACAAAAAUUUUAAAGAAUUAAGUUUUAUGAAAUUCCUAUAUCUUUGAGAUUCAUUGAACUUUUCAAGGGCAUGUUUAAAUCUCGAUUAUGCCCUUCAAGUAUUUGAUUGGGAUACCGAGGAUCACAAACAAGGUGAGAAUAACCAUGCAAAUUAGCUUGGUACUCUUGAGUCAUUUACCACCAAAUUAAUGUGACAGUUAACCAAAUAUGCUCCAUCGAUCUAUGAUAAUUCCCAAUAUACCCUUCGCCACCCUUGCUAGUCCAAGUUAGUGUGACGGUUAACCACACACACUCCACUAACGACUUUGCAAGGUGCGAAGUGCAAUUUCAUGGAAUCGCACCAAUUUCACAUUUUUUCUAAAGUAACCAAGAUUGAGAAUUUAGAAAAACAUUUAGUUACUUUUAUAAUUAUCAUUAUAGUUUUAAUGAGAAUUAAUGUCCUAUCCUACCCGUUCGACUAAUGACCCUCCACCAAUCAAGGAAGUGGUGGAUGAGAGUGGACACCCAUUCAACCGCCUUUUUAUAGGCAGUUUCCUUAUACCCCUCUUAUAGAUUGGCUUUGUAAAUGAGGCCUACUAACGGUAAGACUGACUGUCUUAUACAUAUAUAUAUAUAUAUAUAUAUAUAUAUAUAUAUAUAUAUAUAUAUAUAUAUAUAUAAAUAUUUUAUNAUAUAUAUAUAAGUAUUAAUAUUUUAAUAUUAUAAUAGUAUAAGGGUUGAAUUUUAGACUUUUAAAAUUCUAGGGUUUAGAAUUUAAUGUUUCAUAAUUAAGACUUUUUAAAUUCCAAAACUUAAGGACAAGUUUUGAAACCUUUCAAAAUUAUCUUGUAUCAAUUUGAUAACUAUUAAAUUAAUAAUAUAACUAACUAUAUCACAAAAUUGAUAUAAUCUAAUUUCAUAUAGGAAGAUGAUUCAAAUCAAAUUCUACAAAUAAUUAUUUUUUCACAAAAUCGUGUAAUUAUCUUAAAAUUUGACAAUCAUCAUUCAAUUGGACAAGGUCAAUCAUUAACUUAUCAGAAAAAAUCAAAUUUUAUCAUUGAAAACAGUUUGUUGCAAUGAUCCUAAUCCAAAACUAGCCAAAAACUCGAAAAAAUGAAAACAGAUAAUCCAACUCGUCGAGCCAGGCAAUGGACUCGUCGAGUUGGCUCAACUGACGAUCAACUCGUCGAGUUCCUUCAUAGGACUCGACAAGUCCAGCAGUCAGUGGCCAAAAAUGAAUUUUUUCCAGCUUUGAAAACAAUACCAUUGCAUCAAUAUAACAAUAAACACCGUAGGCUCUGAUACCACUGAUGGCUUUUGAGCACUAUAACAUCCCGAUGGUGCACAUACAACCCUAAUGCUUUGCAUCUAAGUUUUCUCAAGUUAUACAUGCAAUUUCAUUUUAUCCAAAGCAUAUACCCUAGCUAGUAUGCAAUUGGAGAUAUACAACUUAAAAAUUAGUUAGAUGAAUACCUCUUAGUUGUAGCUUGUAGUUCUUGGCCUUUCAAGAGCUUAGUACCUCAAGUAUGAUACCUAUAAUUUGUCACAAAACACAAAAAGCAAGAGGAGGCUUACGAGAGAGAGGUUAGGAAGCACCAAAAUCAGCUAGGGUUUCACCUUAGAAGUCCUGGGGCUGAUUUUAGGAAGCUAGGGGUUCAAUUUAUAGUGUGGAAUCUUUAGAGUUUCAUAUAUAAAACCCUGAAACCUUUGGUAUUCCAAUGAUCCAUAUGAUAGGCCCUUUGGACUAACUCUUCAUGUACUUUCUGAUGGGUUUCGAGCAAAACAUCAAUCCUAUGGUGUACAUACAAACCCUAAUAGCUUUUGGAUUUAAUUUGUCUAAUGAACAUGCAACUGAAUAUCCUAAGAUAUAAACCCUAGAUCUAUCAUAUAAGAACUGAAAUAAGGGGUUAGUAAUUACCUUUGAUUGUUAUAUUGCAAUAACAAUCAAUUCCUUGCUUUGAUUGACUUCAGAAAGCUUAGUGCCUCAAGUGCUGCACCUCUAAUGGAGUCACAAACACCACUAAGCAACUAGAUGAAGAAGGAGAAGAUAAGAGGCACCCAAAAACGUCUAGAAACCCUAAGGAAUCAGUUACCCACGUUUUUGGGGCCUAAGGGGUUCUUUAUAUACUUGUGUGGGCUAUUAGGGUUUCAGUCAAAACCCUAAUGGACAACUUAAACUCUAACCAGCCCAUGGAACCUUCUGGGAUAAGGCCAUGGACGAAAAUUUUGAUGGACGCCCAUCAUAAUUUCGUUCACCCCUUGUUCCUUUAUCAUUCCUUAGCCCAAUAACUCAAUUAUCCAAUAAUUGCAGUCCAGUUCCCUAAAUUUAAUUAAUCACUUUUAGCCACAAAAUUAAUUAUCAAUUAAUUCUUGACUAAUAUUAAUUAAACAAUAUGAUUUCUCCUUUAAUAUAUUAUUCUUAUAAUAUAUUAAUAAAUCAUAAUUAAACCUUUCUCUCCUUAAUUCAUCCUACAUAUUGCUAUGGUGAAGGCAACCCAAAAGGACCAUGCUCAUAAUCAGGUCAAGUACAUACCAAAAUAGUUAUGGACUUAGACACUAAUCCAAUAGUCUCCCACUUGGAUAAGUCUAAUAACUAUUUUCCGUAUGACUUCAGAACCUGAUCAGAAAUCGUAGCUUUCAAAAGCCGUUAUCAACUCUGAUCUUAUCAGAUAGCGUGUCCUUUAGAUAAGGGAUUAUCAGACAUGAAUUUCAAUCAUUCUCUCAAUAUUGUUUCCCGACUUCCGAUUUAUGACGACUGACAACAGACUACAAUUGAACACAUCAACUUAGUCCCGGCUAGGCCAAGCGAUUAGGUGUUAUCACUAAAUCGUCGAGGGGCCCACAAAUAUCGUAUUUAUCCCACUUUGGGUAAAAGGAAUGUAUAAACUUUGACUCAUAUACUUGCUUGCAUUCACUGAUCGAAUCACACACAACAAUAAGUUUUAUAACACCAAGUUACUGGUGCGUUUAAUUAUUAUCAAUGUGCAACCGACCAACAAAUAACAACUUACACAUCUCGGUUUCAAGAAUAUACAAUAUUAUCAUCUAACUAAUCACUCAUGAUAAAUCCAUGAAGUGAUCCAAGUGAGCAUGGGUUUAAUACAAUACUCUAAUCUUAUCAAAGCACUCAUGAACCCUACAGCAAACUUGUGCUAUGUCUAAACUCUUCAGACAAUCUACAAACUCUUCACGACAGUCUUCCUUCAUACUUACUUCCAACAUAUGACCGACUGUGGAGGUUCAAAUAACCCAGUUAUUCUGGAAGUCAAAGCAUGCAAACUGAAACACAACAAUAAUACUUAAUCCUAUAUGGCCCCAAACUUGUGGGAGUAAAUAAAACACUUCUAUUUAAAUACCAUUUUGAUUACUCAUUAUUCAUCGUUUACAGUUUCAAAAAAUCAACUUAUUACUCAAAUUACGACGAUAGUUGUCCCAUGCAGAAAGCAUGCACACUAUGUUUCCUAUGGUCCUUACUUUGUGAGAUAGAUCAAUUGAAAAACUUUUUCCAAUGAUGCUCUGUAACAGCCCGGAACCUCAGGUAUUAUUAAAAUUAUGUUUUUGGGGUGAUUUAAGAGGGGACUCGGCGAGUUGGUGCCUAGACUCGCCGAGUAGGAUCGCGGACUUGGUCGCGGGUCCGCGACUGGACUCGACGAGUCCAGAUAUGGACUCGGCGAGUCGACGCUGUUCAGCAGAAACCCUAACCGUUCAAGGUUGGGACGUAUAAAAGGGGUCCAUUGGCCGUCAUUGUUCGUUUUUGCCUUCUGAGAGGAACCCUAAAUCGAUUAAGUGCAGCAGGAGCAAGGAUCUUAGGCCAUUAUUGGUUAGAGAAGAGUGGGUGUGCAAGGAAGAGGGAGGAUUGGCUAAAAGAGCAGCAAGGGGGUCACAUUCUGAGGUUGGGAAUACAGAGAACACAUCAUCCAGGUAAGAAUUCGUGUUUGCUCUGUUAUUUUGAUGUAAUUAUGAAAUUAGGGUUUAUAGAACCCAUUUAGUGAUUUGAUGAAGAAAUGCCUUGUUACCCCACGAUUAUAGUCUUGUAUUAGGACCUUUAGAGGUCCAGAAGGUCCCAUGCAUGUGUACUUCGGGACGAGACCUAUCCCAGGAAGCAGUUACUCGUCUGCAUGGCAUGGACUCGCCGAGUUGUUCUUCAGACUCGGCGAGUAGCUUGAAGAUGUGCUGGGACUCGCCGAGUUGUUCAUCAGACUCGGCGAGUGGAGUCGGGGUGGCCCCGCGAUUCUUCCACGAGGACCUCGUCGAGUCAAGAGGUAUACUCGACGAGUAGAAAGGGAAUAUUCAGGAAUCUGUGAGGACGACUAGACUCGCCGAGUCGCCAUGGUACUCGCCGAGUCCAGUCGAGUUGACCGUUGACCGUUGACCAGAGUUGACCUAAGUCUGACUUCUUAGGGAUAGUCACACUUAGAUGAUAUGAGUGUUAAUGAGUUAUGUAAUGUUAUAGGAGGGUUGUAGCUCGUUGGUUUGUGCGCGAGUGAUUUCAGGAGUUGCUAGCUUUCAGCACUUACGAGGUGAGUCUUCUCACUAUACUGUACCCGGAAGGGUUUGACUGUGUGACCGGAAGGUCAAGUAUGUUAUGUAUUAUGUUUAUAUGCUAUAAGUGGUAAGUUAAGUGUUAUAUGGAUAUGUAUGCUAUAAGUGGUAAGUUAAGUGUUAUAUGGAUAUGUAUGCUAUAUGUGGUAAGUUAAGUGUUAUAUGUGCUAUGUAUGAUAUGUGGGCCGGAAGGCAAUAUGUUAUGGGCCGGAAGGCGAUUAUGUUAUGGGCCGGAAGGCGUUGUAAUGAGGACCGGAAGGUCAGGGCCUGGAAAGGCGUAUGUGCGUAAGUGUAUAUUGGGGAACUCACUAAGCAUUUAUGCUUACAGUUGUUGUGCAUGUAUUUCAGGUACUAGCGAGGACCGUGGGAAGGCGCCGGCAUGAUCGAUACACACUGAAGAUUGUUUUAUGAUCUUGGGAGUUUGAAUAAUUGUAUUGACCGAAUAAUUAAACUGUUUAUGCCUUGUUUUUAAUGGAAAUAAUUAUGUUUUAAAAAUGAAAAAUUUGUUUGAAAAAUUUGAGUUGUUACAAUUGGUAUCAGAGCCUUGGUUUGAGGGAUUCGGGUGCACCUUCGGGGGUAACUGAACUCAAACCGAGGAUUUGAGGAAACUUUUCAAAUAAAGGCAUAAACUUUUGUAAAUGGUUUUGUGGUAAGCAAGAAAGAAGCAGUGUGUACGAUCAGUCAGCGCCCGAACGGUAAAGAUCCCCAAAAUACCUUACAAUAUUAUAUGAUAUGAAUUGUUAUGCAUGCUAGAAGACUAGGUAUUCAUGAUAGGACUAGAGUGGCCUGAUUUGUGAUGCCUUAGUCUAGGGAAGUUGCCUAUAUGAGAUGCUUUGCUAGUAUGCGGGUAGAUAGAGCGUAUCAGAAGUAGAGUACUCACUAUCCGGAGUUUGGGGAGGAGGACUUGGGAUGAACAUUGAUGCGGUGUGGUCGGUAGUAUUGGGCCCGUACUACCGAGGACACCGGGUCAGUGGGAGGCCCAAGUAAGAAUCCCUGGAUAUCUGGGACUGAGUAGGGUUGCGUAUCGAGUACGAUUAUACUCGGUAGAAUCUCUGAUAGUUUUAUGUUGUAUUUCAGAGAUAUCAUGGUUAGACCGCGUCACGGAGCAAGUACGAGCGGUGUGAGUGACGAGGAUAUUCGUCAGAUGAUCCACGAGGAGGUGGCGGCGGCGAUCCGGGCUGAGAUCCCGGAGAUGUUUGGGUCUAUCAAGACCACCCUGAUGGAGACGUUCGACGAGCGGUACGCCGCAUUGACUGAGGCUGCAACCGCUGCAGCUACCGCAGCUGUGGCCGCUGCUAGGCCACAGGGGGGUGAUUCAUUGCUGUUCCGAGAGUUCAGCAACACGAAGCCACCAGAGUUCGAUGGGACGCAGGAUCCGAUUGCUGCGAUGAGGUGGAUCGCAGAUAUAGAGGGGUGCUUCUACACUUGUUCAUGCCCGGAGCACCUGAGGGUACGGUUCGCUUUGAACCAGCUCCGUCUGGGAGCAAAGGACUGGUGGAAGUUCGUGACGGCGAACUUCACUUUGGCAGAGACUGCGGCAGUGACAUGGGAGGGGUUCACUACCAUGUUCAGGGAUGAGUACGUUCCCCCGGUGGAGCGGGAACGAUUGGUUCAGGAGUUCUUAACCCUCAAGCAGGGUACUGAUUCGGUGGCGGCGAUCACGCGGAAGUUCCAUGAGAGGGCGAUGUUUUGCCCCGAGCUGGUGGCCACAGAGCAGGCUCGGAUGAGCCGGUACUUGGGUGUUCUGAGGAGGGAGAUCCGGGAGUUUGUGUCAAACUCCACUUACCAUACUUUUACUGAGCUUCAGGCGAAUGCCAGGAAGCGUGAGAUCGAGUUAGAGACUCAGGCCAGGGAGGAGGCCGAGUCUCAGCAGGCAGACCGGCGACCGGCUCAGUCUCAGCCGGCAGCCAAGCGGAUCAAGUCCGCCGAUUCGAGGACGGGAGGUUCGAAGAACCGCACUUGCGUAAAGUGCGGUAAGGGUCACGAUGGGGCGUGUCGAGCCGGUGCUUGCUACAAGUGUGGCAAGGAGGGACACAUUGCUAGGGAGUGUCCCAAGGGAUUUAUGGUUUGCUUUCAUUGCAACCAGACCGGCCAUCGGAAGGCCGAGUGCCCUCAGCUUCGUCAGGGAUCUGCACCUGUUGCCAGGACUACUGAGACUCGACCGGUGAAGGUCGAGGCCCCGAGGGCUCGUGGGAGAGCCUUUCAGCUGACUGCGGAGGAGGUCCGCGCUGCGCCCGAUGUUGUGGCAGGUAUGUUGUAAUUCAUGUAAUUAUUUUAAUGUCGAUAUGUUAUGCUUAUGUUAUUAUGCGCGUAGGUACUUUCCUUGUGAACUCUGUGCCUGCCUUAGUGUUAUUUGACUCGGGUGCGAGUAGGUCCUUUGUGUCCUUGGCCUUUAGUCAGCAUAUUGGCGUUAGUCGUGAGUCGUUGAGUCGACCUUUGAGAGUCUCUAUAGCUGACGAGAAGGUGAUUUGUGCUACGGAGGUUCUUCGGGGAUGUGUACUAGAGAUUUUCGGGGUUGGAUUCCCGAUUGAUCUGAUUCCUAUCGCGAUGGGGGAUGUCUGUGUCAUCGUGGGCAUGGACUGGUUGAGCCGGUUCGGCGCUGUCAUCGACUGUGAGCGUCAGUUGGUGACUAUACGAGACCCUAGUGGGGGAGUUCUUUCGGUAUACGGCGAGGGUACCCGUUCGGGAUCAGCUUUUUGUUCGGCCGCUAGGGCGAGGCAGUGUCUACGGCAGGGCUGUAAGGGUUUCGUGGCGUAUGUGAUGGAUACGCGGGAGGUUUCUGAGAAACCGAAGUCAGUUGAGGAAGUUCCGGUGGUGCGCGAGUUUUCAGAUGUCUUUCCCGAGGAGUUGCCGGGAGUACCGCCUGUGAGGCAAGUAGAGUUUAGUAUCGAUCUGGUUCCGGGGGCAGCGCCUAUUGCUAAAGUGCCCUAUCGUCUUGCACCUCCAGAGAUGCAAGAGUUGUCCUCGCAACUCCAGGAGUUGCUGGGAAAGGGAUUCAUUCGGCCGAGCAGCUCGCCAUGGGGAGCACCUAUUCUGUUCGUCAAGAAGAAGGAUGGUUCACACCGGAUGUGCAUUGAUUACCGGGAGUUGAACAAGCUAACGGUCAAGAACCGUUACCCGUUGCCGAGGAUCGAUGAUUUAUUCGAUCAGUUGCAGGGAGCAUCUUGGUUUUCCAAGAUCGAUCUGAGGUCAGGAUACCAUCAGGUGAGAGUACGGGAUGAGGACGUCCAGAAGACAGCGUUUAGGACGCGAUAUGGGCAUUAUGAGUUUGUGGUGAUGCCUUUUGGACUCACCAAUGCCCCGGCUGUGUUCAUGGAUCUCAUGAACAGGGUAUGCAGGCCGAUGUUGGAUCGGUCAGUGAUUGUAUUUAUCGACGACAUUCUGGUGUAUUCGAGAUCUAGAGAGCAGCAUGAGGAGCAUUUGAGGGAGGUCCUUGAGGUAUUGAGGUCGGAGAAGCUUUAUGCAAAGUUCUCCAAAUGUGACUUCUGGUUGCGGGAGGUCCAGUUUCUAGGACAUGUGGUUAAUCAGAAAGGGAUAUUGGUCGAUCCGGCCAAGGUUGAGGCGGUGAUGAGUUGGGAGGUGCCGAAGUCACCCUCUGAGAUCAGAAGUUUCCUUGGGUUGGCAGGGUAUUAUCGGAGAUUUAUCAAGGAUUUCUCCAAGAUCGCAGUGCCACUCACCAGAUUGACCCGGAAGGGUGUUACAUUCUCAUGGGGGCCCGAGCAGCAGACCUCCUUUGAGACACUUCGCCAGAGAUUGUGCGAAGCCCCGGUAUUAGCUCUCCCAGAAGGGAUGGAAGAUUUCGUGGUAUAUUGCGACGCAUCGAUUUCGGGAUUGGGUGCAGUGUUAAUGCAGAGGGGUCAUGUGAUAGCUUAUGCGUCGAGGCAGCUGAAGCCUCAUGAGGCGAGAUAUCCCACGCAUGAUUUAGAGUUGGGGGCAGUAGUGUUCGCUCUCAAGAUUUGGCGUCACUACUUGUAUGGGGUUCGAUGUACGAUAUACACGGACCAUAAGAGUUUGAAGUAUUUGAUGGAUCAACCCAACCUAAAUAUGCGUCAGAGGAGGUGGUUGGAUGUGGUCAAGGAUUAUGAUUGUGAGAUCCUGUACCACCCAGGCAAGGCUAAUGUGGUAGCCGAUGCAUUGAGCCGCAGGGCGGAGAGCACUCCAUUGCGAGACGUAUGCUUGAGACUGACUGUGAUGACUCCAGUAUUGGACGCUAUUCGUGGGGCCCAGGCUGAGGCUGUGCGACCAGAAAUGCAGAAGAAAGAGCGGGUUGUGGGGUUAAUCUCAGAGUUUGUCAAGGAUAGUCGAGGCCUUAUGACGUUUCAGGGUCGGAUUUGGGUGCCGUUCGUGGGCGGUACGCGUAUUACGUUGAUGGAAGAGGCUCAUAAAUCGAAAUUCUCGAUCCAUCCCGGUGCUACAAAGAUGUAUUUGGAUUUAAGGAAGGAAUAUUGGUGGCCCUGUAUGAAGAGGGACGUGGCAUGGUUCGUUGAGAGGUGCUUGACCUGCCGUAGGGUUAAGGCUGAGCACCAGAGACCGCAUGGCAAGUUACAGCCAUUGGAGAUCCCCGAGUGGAAGUGGGAACAGAUUACUAUGGAUUUUAUCACCAAAUUGCCGAGGACUGCUAGGGGAGUUGACGCAAUUUGGGUGAUCGUGGAUAGGUUGACAAAGAGUGCACACUUCCUUGCCAUCAGUGAGAGUUCUUCGGCGGAGAAAUUGGCGGAGAUAUACGUGAGAGAGGUGGUAUCUCGGCACGGGGUGCCGAUCUCGAUUGUGUCAGACCGUGAUGUGCGCUUUACUUCCAGAUUCUGGAAGAAAUUCCAUGAGGAGCUGGGUACUAAAUUGCAUUUUAGUACCGCAUACCAUCCCCAGACAGACGGUCAGAGCGAGCGGACAAUUCAGACACUGGAGGACAUGCUCCGAGCGUGUGUGUUAGACUUCGGGGGUAGUUGGGAUGCGUAUUUACCAUUGGCAGAGUUUUCCUACAACAACAGCCAUCAUUCGAGCAUUGGUAUGCCGCCUUUCGAGCUGUUGUAUGGUAGGAGGUGUCGGACUCCCAUUUGCUGGGGAGAGGUGGGACAGAGAGUGAUGGGCAGCACGGAGAUCAUACUCCAGACGACAGAGCAGAUUCAACAAGUGAGACAAAGAUUAUUGACUGCCCAGAGCCGACAGAAGAGUUAUGCAGACAGGCGCCGAUCCGAGCUUGAAUUUCAAGUCGGCGACUUCGUUCUCCUGAAGGUCUCUCCUUGGAAAGGAGUGAUUCGGUUCAGGAAGAGAGGCAAGUUGGGGCCCCGGUAUAUUGGGCCAUUUCGUGUGAUUGCAAGGAUAGGUCGGGUAGCCUACCGGUUGGAGUUGCCAGCGGAGUUGGGUCAGAUCCAUGACACUUUUCAUGUGUCGCAGUUGAGGAAGUGCAUAGCCGAUGAGUCGGCAGUGGUUCCAUUGGAGGAUAUUCAGGUGGAUGCGAGCCUGAAUUACGCGGAGAGACCAGUGGCUAUCAGGGAUCGGAAGAUCAAGGUUCUGAGGAACAAGGAAGUACCUCUGGUGUUGGUUCAAUGGCAACACCGUAAGGGAUCAGAAAUGACUUGGGAACCGGAGCGCGAAAUGCGGGAGCAGCAUCCGGAACUAUUUGCAGAAUGAGACUUCGAGGGCGAAGUCUAAUCCAAGUGGGGGAGAAUUGUAACAGCCCGGAAUCUCAGGUAUUAUUAAAAUUAUGUUUUUGGGGUGAUUUAAGAGGGGACUCGGCGAGUUGGAGCCUAGACUCGCCGAGUAGGAUCGCGGACUUGGUCGCGGGUCCGCGACUGGACUCGACGAGUCCAGAUAUGGACUCGGCGAGUCGACGCUGUUCAGCAGAAACCCUAACCGUUCAGUUUGGAUCGUAUUUAACGCCUCUUAGGCCGUCAUUUUCAGUCUUUUGGUCAAUUGAGAGGAACCCUAAUCGCUGUGGACGCCUAGAGCAAGGGAGAAAGCUUUGGAACUUGGAAGAAUUGGUUAGGCAAGAAGAAGAGGGAUUUGGCUAAAGGAAUAUCAAGGAGGAUUGAGUCCUGAGAUUUGGGGGACACAGAGAGUGCGUUUUCAGGUAAUACUCGGACCAAAUCUGUUAUUUUGAUGUAUUUAUGAAAUUAGGGUUUAUAGAACCCAUUUAGUGAUUUGAUGAAGAAAUGCCUUGUUACCCCACGAUUAUAGUCUUGUAUUAGGACCUUUAGAGGUCCAGAAGGUCCCAUGCAUGUGUACUUCGGGACGAGACCUAUCCCAGGAAGCAGUUACUCGUCUGCAUGGCAUGGACUCGCCGAGUUGUUCUUCAGACUCGGCGAGUAGCUUGAAGAUGUGCUGGGACUCGCCGAGUUGUUCAUCAGACUCGGCGAGUGGAGUCGGGGUGGCCCCGCGAUUCUUCCACGAGGACCUCGUCGAGUCAAGAGGUAUACUCGACGAGUAGAAAGGGAAUAUUCAGGAAUCUGUGAGGACGACUAGACUCGCCGAGUCGCCAUGGUACUCGCCGAGUCCAGUCGAGUUGACCGUUGACCGUUGACCAGAGUUGACCUAAGUCUGACUUCUUAGGGAUAGUCACACUUAGCUGAUAUGAGUGUUAAUGAGUUAUGUAAUGUUAUAGGAGGGUUGUAGCUCGUUGGUUUGUGCGCGAGUGAUUUCAGGAGUUGCUAGCUUUCAGCACUUACGAGGUGAGUCUUCUCACUAUACUCCACCCGGAAGGGUUUGACUGUGUGACCGGAAGGUCAAGUAUGUUAUGUAUUAUGUUUAUAUGCUAUAAGUGGUAAGUUAAGUGUUAUAUGGAUAUGUAUGCUAUAAGUGGUAAGUUAAGUGUUAUAUGGAUAUGUAUGCUAUAUGUGGUAAGUCAAGUGUUAUAUGUGCUAUGUAUGAUAUGUGGGCCGGAAGGCAAUAUGUUAUGGGCCGGAAGGCGAUUAUGUGAUGGGCCGGAAGGCGUUGUAAUGAGGACCAGAAGGUCAGGGCCUGGAAAGGCGUAUGUGUGUAAGUGUAUAUUGGGGAACUCACUAAGCAUUUAUGCUUACAGUUGUUGUGUAUGUAUGUAUUUCAGGUACUAGCGAGGACCGUGGGAAGGCGCCGGCAUGAUCGAUACACACUGAAGAUUGUUUUAGGAUCUUGGGAGUUUGAAUAAUUGUAUUGACCGAAUAAUUAAACUAUUUAUGCCUUGUUUUAAUGGAAAAUAUUAUGUUUUAAAAAUGAAAAAAUUUGUUUGAAAAAUUUGAGUUGUUACAUGCUCAUUUCACAAUUCCCAAUUCUUAUCAUUAGUGUCAGAACACAAAGUUCUUGCCACUACUAGAAUAUGCUAGAUUCUAACAUUUUAUGCAACGAUCCUUUCGCAAAGUCAUAGCACAAAAGUCACCAAGACUUGGUCAAUCAAAUUACAAAGUACUUAUCGGAAAUUCUUACAAGACAAUUCCAUAGACGCGAAGUCUCCCAUUCAAAGUACAUUCCUUUGAACAUGCUUCUUGCAUAAAAUUUUCUAAUCUAGACAUAGAAUCUCAAUAUCCAAUUCCCAAUAUGGAAACAUUUCCAUAUUUUGCAUACGACAACUCAUUUUUAGUAGAAUCUUAUCUAUUCAUAAUAAUGUCGAUAUGGUCCAUCCAAUAUCAUACUUCCAACUACUCACAAGCGACCAAUCCUCAGCGAUCUUUGGAUCAUCCUUUGAUAGUUGUUUGAUUAUUUUAGUGAAAACCGAUUCUAGUCCUUUUUCCUUAUUAAUGCGCUAGACAUUUGGAAAAUUUAAGAAUGGUCAAAUAUUAUAGCAUUUGCAAUCGAUCCUAUACCCGAAGCGUAUGGGACACGAUGCAUAAUGUCUUACAUAAAGAUAUGAUACUUUAUCAAUCUUCUGCCAUAAUAUUUUAAGUGUCACGUUCUCACAAUUCGAACUAUGAAGAGGGAUACCGUAAUCAUAAUCGAAAUUUGAGAACACGCUAUGUAUCCUUUGACUAAAUUUAUUAAAAUUUCUCAAUCUAAGCUUUAGAUAUUGAAACGAAGUAUAAUAUUCUCUCCCUUAAUUAUAGCAAAACAACUUCUCAACCCUUGCGACUUUGCAAAGUGAAUCUUUGUUUUCUAUAAUUACUAUUGGUAACUUGCAAUACUUGCCAUAAUAAUAAUACAAGCAUAACACUUAUGCUCCCACUAUCAUGAUGAUUAUUAUCAUAUAAGCAUAACACUUAUGCUCCCACUAGCUUUGACAUGUAUUCAGAGAACAGCCGAACUUCUAGAAAACAAUGCCUAUUGAAUUUCUAAAGUUCAUAUUUCUAAUACUAGAUGCUUCAAUAAGCCUUUAUCUAAGCUUCUUAAACUUAUAUACCUUUGCCUUAGAUAGCUCAUAUGUGUGUCUAAACAAUUCAGAACUAAUAUCAAUAAGUCCCAAAUGUUAGACUAAUUGCCGAAUCUCACAAUUCGAAUUAUGGAAAGGGAAGCCGUAACCAUAAUCGAAUUUGAGAAUACAGUUUUCACAAUUGCUAUCUUCUUAAAAUCUCUGUUAGUGAAAGCAUUUCCUCACAGUCAUUUUCAUGAAGGAGGGAAUCUUAUGACACUUAGAUUAUUUGGUGUAUGAGUUCCUAUCCAUGUGAAUUUGCCAAAACCAAGUUUGCGACAAAUCCAAAGUCAUAUGGACUAAACUUUCUUAAUCUUGAUUUCUUGCCUUAUGGUGACACGAGUGCUCACCAUGUCUUCCAAGUGGUUUAGCAACUUAUCCUUACACAUCAAUGUACUUUCCAUCGAUCAAGGUACUUUGUCUUUAUGCAUUCAAUGAGAACUCAUAGAACUCACAUACAUAAUUAACUCAAAUCAAAUGGCACAAAAACAAAAUAAUGUCAACCAGAUAGGUUGUAAACCUCAAGUCGUGUGCUAGUGAUGAUUGAUAAGGUUUAUUCUUGAUUUGUUCUUGAAACCUUUUUCAAGAUCAUUAAAACUCCCACUGACCUCUUGACAUAUAUGAUUCUCUUGUUAGAAAACUUUUCUUGACAAAACAAAUAUUCAAGAGUUAGUGUAGUUCUUAUCAAGACAAAACAUUUCACAUGAUUGGUCAUAGUUGGUCUUUGUCUUAUCCAAGACAGCACAACUUACCAAUUUCAAAUGUGCAAGAAUGAGAAAACUUUUCCAAAUUCCACAUUUGUUGAGCGUUAUAAACCUACUAAAGACUUGCCACUCAAUUCACAAUCUUGGUGUAUGACUCUAAGAUUCGAUAUUGGAAUGAAGUAUGAUUGACUUAUUGAUUUAACCAUUUCCACAAUUCCCGAGUCUUCUUCUUAGACCUACAAAUGUACUAAGCCUCACUUAGAGGAUCAAUUGAGAUAUGGUUCUUAAUCAGUAAGACUUUAUCAUAAAACACAAUAAAAGGUACUCUCCCUUCUUCUUAGAAUAGAGAAACUUUUAUCUUUCUGCCUACUUGAUCCUUCUUUAUUCGUUCUGCAAUUCAUUGAAAAUCUUUCAAUCAACUCAGAGUUACACUUAAUCUUAUAAGUAUAAUCAUAUUUACUAAACUUUAGUAAAUCAUGACGAAUAUCUUUAUCACUCUUGUGGUGGACUUGAUUGAUACACAACAUUGCGAACUCGAUCUCCUAGUCCUUCACUUGACUCUUUGUCAAUGAAUUAGCCUUGAAAUUCCAGUUAUAAAAUUUCUCAUUCAUCACGCAACCAAGUUGUAUGAUUCCAAGUUUCUGUCCAAUUGAAACCUGGGCGAUGAGAAACUCUCCCUAUUUGGUAAAUUCUCGACAUUUCCACAAAUAACAUAAUUAAGAAUCAAAUCCAUUAUUGCUAAUAAUAGAAACUUUCAAACAUCAAUUUUUCAUACACGCCAUUGCAAGGAUAAAUAAAUAAGAUAAAAUCAAAAAUUCAUUUUAUUGUGGAAAAAAUUUGUCCUUACAAUAGAAACCUGGGCGAUGAGAAACUCUCCCUAUUUGGUAAAUUCUCGACAUUUCCACAAAUAACAUAAUUAAGAAUCAAAUCCAUUAUUGCUAAUAAUAGAAACUUUCAAACAUCAAUUUUUCAUACACGCCAUUGCAAGGAUAAAUAAAUAAGAUAAAAUCAAAAAUUCAUUUUAUUGUGGAAAAAAUUUGUCCUUACAAUACAAUUCAAUUGAAAAAACUAUGUUAUUACAUAUUUCUUAGCAAUCUAUUCUAACUCUAAGUAGUAGCUCAAGAAUCUAAUCUUCAAGCAAUGCGAUCGAAAUCCAUUUCUUCACGAUUAGAUUCAGCUCACUUCUUCCCUUAAGCUUCCCCUCUUUUCUUCAAUUCUACAAAACAUCAAAAUGUAAUCUUAUCACAUCAUGUAUUAAGAAUCUAGAAUAGGAACUUAAAAGAGUUAGAUAAUAGAUUUCACCUGAAGUAGAGCCAUACGUUUUGACUCUUCCAUCUCUUAGAUCUCUCAGGUAAAUAGGGCAGCUUUGUCUCUAAUGCCCCUUCUCUUGGCAAUAAAAGCACAUGGACUCUUUUGGAAUGGCACAAGGAACUAUCUCGGAAUUUACCUUUUCUGGAUCUCCAAUAUCACCAUUUUCAAUAUCCAUUGAAGUUUGGGAGUUUGAUUCACCAGACAAAUUUGCUUGACCAGCUUGCCAAAUCAUCGCUAAUUCAGUAGCUAUAAGCAAAUACGUCAAAUAAUUGAGGGUCACAUCAUGAUCCAUCAUAUAGUACUCUCUAACGAACUCACUAUAUGAUUCAGGAAGUGACUGAAGAACCCAAUCAACAGCCAACUCCUUGGGGAUGACAACACCCAACAUACCUAACCUGUCAAUGUGUGACUUCAUCUUUAAGACGUGUGUACACACAGACUUUCCAUCUUCAUGCUUAAUUGCCAAUAGGGCUAGAGUGAGCUUGAACUUUUCAAGCCUUCGAACUUGUGGGUUAGGGAGAACAAUUUGAGGAGGUGGAGGAAGUGAAGCAUGAUUUCUUGUUCCUCGAUCAUAUUGUGGAAUAUCAUCUUCGUUUGGAAAACUUGUUCCAAGGGAUUUGGGAAGACCAUGAUUGUCAAAAUUAGAGAUCUAAAAAACGGGAGAAAAUUCAAGUUAAGUUGAUUAGAAUUCUUGAUGUAACACCCAAAUGAAACAUCAAGGCUAGGAUCCAACACAAUACUCUACAACCUAGAAGAGGGAUGUCGUGAUCUAGUGGUAGAAUAUUUGAAGGUAGGUAAAUGAGGAUUUACCAAUUUCUACCAUGAAAAACGAAAAGGAAGUUUAAGUUUUAAACAAAUUAAAACUCCUAGAUCUUUUGAGAUUCAUUGAACAUUUCAAUGGCAUGUUCAAUCUCAAUCAUGCCCUACUAUUUAUGACUGGGAUGCCGAGGAUCACAAAUAAGGUGUGAAUAACCAUACGAAUCACGUGGUGCACUCAAUGCUACUAUCACCUAAUCAAUGUGCCGGUUAGCUACACACGCUCCAUUGAUCUAUGAAAAACAUCGAGUCACCCUUUGCUACCAAUGUCAUGCCCAAAUUUGUGUGUCGGUUAACCACACACGCUCCACUAACGUUUGACAAGGGUACGAAGUGUAAUUCCAUUGAUUAGCAUACAAUUUCACAUUUUUCCUAAAGUAACUAUGAUUUGGGAAUUUGUAAAAGCAUUUAGUUACUUUGUACUCCAUUAUACUUAUAAUGGAAGGUUUCUGUCCUAUCCUACCCGUUCGGCUAACGAACCUCCACUAGUCCAAAGUGCGGUGGGUAAGAGUGGAUACCCAUUCAAUCGCCAUUUUAUAGGCAAUUUUCUUAAACACCCCUUAUAGACCAGCUUCGUGAAUGAGGCCUACAAACGGUAAGACUGACUCUUUACUCAUAUAUAUAUAUAUAUAUUGUAUAGGGUGUAUUUUACACUUUUAAAAUACUAGGUGGUCUAAUUUAAUAAAUUAUACUUUUAAUUUAACUAAAUGUAAACCAAAACUUUAUGGAUUUAUUAAANGGUGUAUUUUACACUUUUAAAAUACUAGGUGGUCUAAUUUAGCAAAUUAUACUUUUAAUUCAUUUAAAUGUAAACCAAAACUUUAUGAGUUUAUUAAAUCUCUUUUAAUUAUACACUUUAAUUAAUUAAUAAAACCGUAAGGGUGUGAUUUGAACUUUUCAAAUUACCAGGGUUUUAGAAUUUAAAAUUUCAAAUUAAGACUUUUAAUUAAUUUUAAAAUCCAAAACUUGAGGGCAAGUUUUGAAACUUUUCAAAACAUUAGGGUUUAACUUAUUUAAAUUUCAAAAACAAAACUUUUAAGUUCAAAUUUAAACUAUAAAACCUAAAGGGUGAAAUUGAAACUUUUUCACAAGAUAAUUCAAAUCUAAAUUACAAAUAAUCAAUAUUUAUCUAAUAAAGCAAAAGAUUAUCUAAAUUUUACAAUUAUCUUCAAUUUUGGCAAGGAUAAACUCCAAAUAUUGAUAAAAAUUGGAUUUUAUUAAUAUAAAACGUUUUAGGUAAUUAUCUACAGCCAAAACAGGAAGAAAAUCACGAAAUAUACUCCAUCUGCGACUCCGACUCGUCGAGUCAAGCUUGGACUCGUCGAGUUCAGCCAUGGACUCGACGAGUCCAGCCCCCAGAACCAAAAAAAUUUCGAUAUUAAGCAUGAAUAACAACUAUAUCAUCAAAUAUAUCAAAUACACAGCCCUAGGCUCUGAUACCACUGAUGGGUUUCGAGCAAAAUAUCAAUCCUGUGGUGUACAUGCAAAGCCUAAUAGCUUUUGGAUCUAGUUUUUCUAAUGAACAUGCAAUUGAAUAUCCAAAGCUCUAAACCCUAGAUCGAUCAUAUAAUAACUGAAAUAAGGGUGUAGUAAUUACCUUUGAUUGUUAUAUUGCAAUAACAAUCAAUUCCUUGCUUUGACUGGCUUCAGAAAGCUUAGUGCCUCAAGUGCUGCACCUCUAAUGGAGUCACAAACACCACUAAGCAACUAGAUGAAGAAGGAGAAAAGAAAAGGCACCCAAAACGUCUAGAAACCCUAAGGAAUCAGUGACCCACGUUUUGGGGCCUAAGGGUUCCUUUAUAUACUUGUGUGGGCUGCUAGGGUUUCAGUCAAAACCCUAAUGGACAACUUAACCUCUAAGCAGCCCAUGGAACCUUCUGGGAUAAGGCCAUGGACGAAAAUAUGAUGGGCUCCCACCAUAAUUUCGUUCACCCUUUGUUCCUUUAGCAUUCCUUAGCCCAAUAACUCAAUUAUCCAAUAAUUGCAGUCUAGUCCGCUAAAUUUAAUUAAUCUCUUUUAGCCAUAAAAUUAAUUAUGAAUUAAUUCUUGACUAAUAUUCAUUAAACAAUAUGAUUUCUCCUUUAAUAUAUUAUUCUUAUAAUAUAUUAAUAAAUCAUAAUUAAACCUUUCUCUCCUUAUUUCAUCCUACAUAUUGCUAUGGUGAAGGCAACCCAAAAGGUCAAUGCUCAUAAUCGGGUCAAGUACAUACCAAAAUAGUUAUGGACUUAGACACUAAUCCCAUACUUUCGUAUAGAUUUAUCCCAUCCCUAACCAACAUGGAUCAUUAGCCCAACCUAUACAUAUUACUGAUUUACCUAAUCAGUCCCUGUAAAUUUAAUCAGUCUCUUUUGAUCACUAAAUCAAUUCCAAAUUAAUUCUAGACCAAUAUUAAUUAAAUAUGAUGAUUUCUCAAUUCAUAUAUUAUUCCUAUAAUAUAUUAAUAAAUCACAAAUAACCUCUUUCUCAAAUGUCCAUCCUAUCAAAUUGCUCUGGUGAAUGCAACCCAAAAGGACCAUGCUACUAUUGGGUCAAGUACAUACCAAUUAUAGUUGAGGGCUUAGACACCUAAUCCAACAAGUUGCACCUGCUUUCCUUAGUCCAACGAGUAUCUUCCUAUAGCAAAAUUUCACCAUUUUUGUAUGAAAAGUCGUCUUAUCUUCGUCUUCCUUUUCCAUCUAAACCUAAUGAUACCCUUUGUAUGCAUCCAUACACGUCUUCCAUUUAUGGCCUCUUAAAGAUUCUGUCUUCUGCUCAUUCUAUGGAAGCGGGUAGAAAUCCUUCAGACAAGCUUUUAUUCAAACUGGUGAAAUCCCUCACAUCCUCAUUCAACUUUCACUUUUUGUUACUAAAACGGAUUUGAGAUCUAGAGCGGGAACCGGGUAACCUGAACUACCCUUGCAUGGACUAGCUCUGGUACCUUCUGAUUGACGAUGAUGUUUUGUUCACUCACAAUUAUUCUCUUCCUCUGCUUAAUAGGUGGGAAACCAGGCUUGAUGUUUAAGCAAUGUUCAAUGAUAGACAUGGGAAUCCAUGUCCUGUCUUUCAGCCUCCAUGUGAACACAUCAGAGUACUUGGCUAGAAGUUUUGUUAGACCGUGCUUGAGAUCGCUCGGUUGCUUCAUCUUGAUCUUUACCAAUUGAUCCUUAAUUUAAGGGACCAAAAUUACCUCCUCCUCUUCCACCAAAGCACUAGCGUCUUUCUCCUUCUAAGGAGGUUCUGCAGUAUUGCUCUAUUCAGUGCGCUUCAUCGGUAUAUUCCUGAGAGUGAUGAUACCAUGUUCCGAAGGAAACUUUAGGAAACUGUGCAGUGUUGAUGGAACAAAUUCUAGCUAUUAUAUCCCGCUUCUUCCUAAGAUCAUGUUAUAUGGUGAAGAUGCCCUAAUAAUGAUGAAGUCUGCCAAUAUGUUUUUAACAUCUCUUUUUGAUAGUCCACCAAUGUGAAAGGUAAAUAAAUUUUCCCUGCAAGCCACAGUCCUUGCCCGACGAAUCCCACAACUUUUGCAGUGGUCGGUUCAAUGAAAUUUCUAACAACCUCUGAAAACUGAGCCAAGCAAUGAGAAUAUAUGAUAUUGACUGAACUUCCAUUAUCUACAUAUAUUCGAUGAAUGAGAAUCUUAGCAAACGAGCCUUUAAUUACCAAUGUUUUGGUUCCCUGGUGGCCGAGUGGAAUGGGACCGUUUGGAGAAAACUCUAGCCCGACCCACUUUUUUUUGUUGGUAACCGAUUAUCCCCCAACCGCAACAUCAUCACCUCGACGUUAUAUACCAUUUGUUCCGUCUAGUCAUGCCAGACAUCUUUGCCUGCGACCCUUCCCUCUUUGUUUUUUUUCUUCAGACAUUCGCAGCCACUAGUCGCAUUUCCUAAAUUUUUAUGAAAGUCAUAGUAUUGAUCAGGGUCCUGAUGGUAACUUCUUUGGGGGUUAUCACUAUUAUCCUUUCUCAUCUCUUUCUGAGGUCGUACCUCAUAUGCUUCUUAUCUAUAAGGGUUAGCCCUAUUGUGGUACCUUCCCUUAUCUCAUCGUUUUGUCUGAGACUACCUUCCUGUCCAUCCAGGGGCAUCUUGACCGGAUCUUUGGGCCGCGAUGAGGCCUUUUUGCUUACGCUCCGAGAGGUGGGCCUCUCCUCUCUCCAUGCUUAUUUUUUCUACAUUUUCAUCUUUUUGACCUAGAAUUCAAUUAACUUUUUAGCUCCUCUGUGUUAUUCCAAUCUCAUCCCACCAACUUACGGAAGAGCUCACCCGUUAGUAACCCAUAUGUGAAAGUUGCUAUGAUCUUCGAAUCUUCCCUGGUGGGCAUCUUUCUGCUUAUCUCAUUGAAACGCUUGAAAGAAGCCUUGUUCGACUCCCCUUCUCUCUAUCUGCAUGCGAAUAUUGUGUUGGCUUGUUGUUGAAACCUUUGUUGCUGCAUGAAACUAUUACAGAACACCUGGCACAUCUCCUCAAAGUUGUUUAUGCUCCUUUAGGGAAGACUUGCUAGCAAGUAGCAAGCUGGACCAUAUAGUGUUCCCGAAAAAAUUCAAUCACCAUAAAUUUGGAUUCACGGGAAUCAUCUUAAUUGCCCACUAAAAUUUAGAUACAUGGUCGUGCAGGUCUCCUGUUCCAUCAUAUGACUUCAUUGUUGGUCCUUUCAGACCUACGGGGAUGGGUGUGUCGUGUAUGUCAUCAGUAAACAGGUUUAUGAAGUUUAGCUCUCCCAGAGCCCCAUCAGAUCCCCUUCAGUUUUCCUUUCCAUGUGAAUCUCUAGACCUUCACUCUUCCUGAGUUUAUGGUCUCCCGAGUUCUUCCUCCGUCUCUUUCCCAGUUGCUGCACUCGAACGUCGUGUAUGCAUUAACACCCGGUCAUCAUUAUUCUUUUCUCAUGUUUGUUUCUUUUCCUUGUUGCUCUGUAGUCUUUUCAUAUCUUUAAAUCUUUGAAACUCUUCAAAGUCCCUCAUACAUUUCUCAUUUUGCAUCUAUUUUUCACAAUAAAGGGCAUCCGUUUCCCUUGCCACUAUGAUUAUCUGAGGUGCUUCACCCAUGCGGCUCCAACGGUUACAUCCUCGUGACCGAACUGUUUUUAACGUUGUUGGUAGGAUUUUUGGUAGUGACCAUUUUUUUUUGGUCCCACGGAUGGCACCACGUGAUGUGUAUCCAGAUUUUAGUCCCUGAUGAUCCUAACGACUCGAAGAUGCUUUAGGUCCAAAUUCUGAGAUAACAAUACACAAGUGAGUUGUCCAUCGGGAUUGCUCCUGGGAGAAUGCUCUCAUGAUGAAGUCAUAAAGUGAUAGAGCAAGUUACAAUUGUGUAAUGACCCAAAAAUCAAGGAUAAAAAUUUCAUUUUUAAUAUAGCUAAAACAUUAAUACCGUUUAUUUCUAACAUUUCCAAUCAUCGUUAAGUAAAACAUUUAUCAGAGCUCAUAAUCAUCCACUAUGGAAAUCAUAGGUGCGUGCACUGCGAUUAAUCCAAGCGUGUCUUUUCCAAAACGUUGAUACCUGAAACAAAAAAUGCAAGCCGUAAGCACAAAGCCUAGUGAGUCCCCCAAAGCAUAACCCACACACAAUCCACACAACACAUAUCAUAUUAGCUAUAAAAGCUAUCUCUACCACACACCACUCAUCAAUUAGCUAUAAAAGCUACCUCUACCACAUAAUAUAGAACAAUUAGCUACAAAGGCUACCUCUACUGAACAUCGCAUAUCCAUUAGCUAUAAAAUAUACCUCUACCACGUAUCACAUAUCAAUUAGCUAUCAAGCUAUCUCUACCAUUAGCCACAAAGGCUACCUCUACCAUUAGCCCCAAAGGCUACCUCUACCAUUAGCCACAAAGGUUAUCUCGACCGUUAGCCAUAAAGGCUACCUCUACCAUUAGCUUUAAAGCUAUCUCUACCACAUAUUAAUACAUAACAAUGCCACACACCUCUACACAGUAAGUAUACCAACUAUCAUAAAAUGGGUUGGCCUUGGUGCCUUAGACACAUUGGUAUGGUGAGGAGACUCACCUCACAUUGUAGAGCCUCCCGCAUGAAUUCCCUAGCUGCUGCCCCACCAGCUUCCCGAGCUAUCACUACCAAACAAUAUACCCAAUUAGCAGUUGGGUCCCAUACCAUAAUCCUUAAUCCAUGCAUGGGGUAAAAUGAUCAUUCUACCCCCUGGCCCAAUAUGAUCCAAACUUAGGCCCAGUCCCAAAACAAAAGCCCAACACUAGGUAGGCUUUCCAAGCCCACUAAUGGUCCAAUUUGCCAAAUUGGGCCCAAAUCCUCUAAUGGGCCUUACCUUAAGCCAAAACAUAUUCCUGGCCCAAAGCAUUUGACUUCUGAUGGUCUACUAAGGCCAAAAGGCCCAAAGUCCAUUGCCUAGCCCAACCCGAGGCCCAAAACACUCCAAGCCCAUAACUGUUGAGUAUGCGGGGCGUACCCCCGUGUACGCUAAGUGUACUGGCUGAAGGUGUUGUAUGCUACAUGUACCUGCUUGUAUGCCCAACGUACUCCUCUGUUAACCCACUUUUCCAUUAAGUGCUUAAUACUCUACUCCAGAAGCUACAAUUAUAGAUCCAAGUCUUCUUCAACGUCUUAAACCAUAAAGUUGCUUACCUAAUGGCUUUGCAUGACCCACUUAAGUUUAAACUCCAAAAACAAUAAACUACUUUGAAAGAAAUGGUCUUAACACAUGCAUGAACCGAUUAAGACCUCCAAGAUGGCAACUUUCUGCCUUAAGGACUCAUUUAACACUAAUAGUGGCAACUCUAAGCUUGAGAAUCAGAUUUCAACCAUAAAGCGCGAUCCUUGGGACCAAAAAGGUCCAAAAACCCAUCAUAACAGACCUAAACAUUUAAGAGGCAAGUUUAAGACUUUAUACCUCAAGAUGAUCUGAAAUAAAGCAACAUUCUUGGAUCUACAACUUCUCCUUUGAACCACCACCUUGCUUUGCUCUUCACCUGCUUGGAAAAUGUUAACAACACCAUAAUGCUCUCUAAUGGCCUCCAAAGCUCCAAGAACACUCAUGGGAGGAUUAGGCUUUCAUGGUGGUUGUCUAAAGAUGAAAUGGAGGCUGACCAAUGAGGCAUAUUAUUCCUUUUAUAGUGGCAUAGCUCUAAAAUUAGGGUUUAGAAACUCCGAGCAUAUGCUAGGCGUACGCCUCCAACACAUGCGUCCACUUUACAUCCCUACGAUGGGCGUACCCGAGCUUAUGCUGGGCGUACCCACCUGGCUGCCACCAUGCAUGCAUGGGCUGAAAUGCAAAGUUUUCCAUUCAGGGACCAAUUCUGCCAAUAACUUCGAAGUGCUAUAAUUCCUUCAUUCAAAGUCUGUUUCCGACGAACUUUAUACCCACGAAAAGGUGGCGAGAAGCCCUACGCUCCUAUCCACACACACAAGCCUUAAAACCUUUAUAAUAAAUACCUAGGACCCAUAAAAGACAGAAUCACUUAUACCCUAGGCCUCCAAAACCACAAUCGAAGUACUUUUCAAAACGGGGUGUUACAACUCUCCCCCACUUAAACUAGAUUUUGUCCUCGAUUGCUGAGCCAAAAACACACUCAGCAGUUCCCUGCAUCCUCCAAAGAAUACCCCGUCUAACCAACUACACUAUCCCCUUAAAUCCAUUUGAUCCAUCUGAUUGAGAACGGAUCACAGCCUGUCGCCAUUGAAUCCGACGCAAAAAGGUGAAUACUUCUAGAAUGGCUGUAGUCUUACGUCAUACCUGGUCUCAUUCGACCUACCGCUUCCUGAUUUCGGCAUCUCGUGGCUCUAUUAAGUAUAGAGCCACCUGAGACACACCAUAAUGGCUUAAGCUACCAUUAAACCAACCCGUGUAUCACCCUAGAAUCUUGUCGUCGAUGCCUUUGGAAUAGAAAUGCCACACAUCCCAUCACACUGAAACAAAAUCAUGCACGAAUUCUGAUUCGGGUUCCUAGCCAAAUCUGAAUUGUUACUCCACUCCUAUCCAGAGAUCCUCGAAUCGACAUUUGCAUAAUGUACCAUGACUUCCCGUCAUCCUUUACUCGACCGAUUAAUAGAUACUCUUAGCCGAUUCCCUAAGACUUCUAGUCUCGUGCCCGGUCCAACCACCAGGUUCUUAUGAGAUGCAAUAUCAUGGCUACUCGGUCGUAGCCCUACUGAAACAUACACUACUCAACCACAAGAUCAUGUAUCACAAGGUCCAACCCUUAGCUCAGCAGUCUCUACCGGUUCCAUCCUAAAUUCCCAUAACCAUCUGGGCUCGCCCUCAGAUAACUGAUUGGUCAAUCACCUCUGGUCCUGAUCCUAACUAAGUUUUGGCUCCCCCACAACCCUACGAACUAGCCUGCCUUAGUCCAAAUCACCUGAAAUAAUUCGUGAAAGCUACGUGUCACACGCCAAAACCAAGAACGGCGGAAACGUUCUGGGACGGAGGACGUCAUGUAAAGUAUCAUAACAAUGCAAAGUAGUAAACAAGCAUCAACAUCAUCCAUUGCAUUAGUAGUAGAGUUUUAAUACAUGUGUGUUCUUUGUAAUAUAAUAGACAUCAAAUAUGAAUGAUCAAAAUAAAAGACGAGUCUUGUCUGUGCUCCGUCUUCUCAAAACCUGUCACCGGUACCUGUCUACUGAUGACCUGAGAAUACAAGUUAUUUUGAAAGCAUAGAUCAACAUUUAAGCUGGUGAAUUCAUAAAUACUUUAGUGUCUUUGAUUGGUAAAACUGUAAAGAAAAGACUUGUAAGUGUUUGAUGAAAAAGUUUGUAUAAGUAUGAAAACCCAAGAAAAUCCCAUAUUUCAUACUAGUAUAAAAAGUAGUCUUCUACCAAGACUCGAUUGUUUUGAAGGUUUGCUUCUCUGUAUGAAUGAAGGUUUUUCCCAUGUACAACUAUUAUUAUCAAAAUAUAGUCUACCUCAUCGUUUAUGUGAAUGUGUCACAAGAUAAAAGUAAUAGGGAAAAUUAUAUAAUCAUUGAAAUCGUAUCCUUUUGUCUUAUGAUAAACACGGCGUGGUAACUUACUGAACAAUACAAUCGUGAACAUCCGUCGAUGUGCAGUUUCCCGCUGUAGCUAACAGCCGGGUGUAGGAGGGUCAGUCCCGUAUAGUAUGUAGUAGUAUCUCUUCAUAUAGUAUGUAAUACUAUCUCUUCAUAUAGUAUGUAAUAGUAUCCCUUCAUAUAAUAUGUAAUAGUAUCUCUUCAUAUAGUAUGUAAUAGUAUCUCUUCAUAUAGUAUGUAGUAUAUUUGUAUAGACUCAUGAAUGAACUGACUCUUGUGUGAUGCCUUGUACUAGGAAUAACAAGUAGUAUCUCCUAAACUAUACCUAUUAUAUUUUACUAGUAAUGUAGUUUGAAAUAUCCAAGUAUGUUUAUACACCUUUGCUACACAAAAGUGUUGCAACUGAAGUAACAACUUUCAUAUAAACACACACAUACACACAUACAUAUAUNUCUUAUCAAUACAUAUAUAUAUAUAUAUAUAUAUAUAUAUAUAUACACACUAACUACAUAAGUAUAUAGAUAUGGUUUUAACAAUAUGUAAGUUUAAAAGAGGUUUUGUAAUACAUUUGAAGGGUUUGAAAAAAUAAGUAAUAAUGACUUGAUGUCAGUUUAUAAAAUGAUUCAAAAGCAGUUUGUUUGAUAAAACAGUUUGAAAGUAUACCGAAUCCAUAUGUUUGAUAGUUAUUAAUCGCAUGUGAUUGAUAUAAUAACUAUGAUAUUCAACUUGUAUUCCCCACCAUUUAAGCAUGUAAAUGCAUUUAAAAGGUUGGUUAAUGGGGUAUGAACUCACCGAAAUCGAGUGAUGCGAACGUAAGAUCGGUAAAGGAUGCUAAGUGUCAAGUGAGGACUUGAGGACACACGGAUCCUAGUUAACAUAUAAUGACACAUAUAUGUUUACAAUUAGUGUUUAUUACAACUAAUUAAGUAACUAAACAACCUUAAGGACUAGGAAAUACUUGCACUGAGGUGUUGAACCACAUAAGGUUGCAUAUAAGGAGUGUAGGGCCUCACUUGGGAGUUUAUGGCCCAUAUGGUAAGAACCACAUGAGUUUACGGCCCAAGGACCAUUUCUUAAUGAGUUUACGGCCAUAAAAUCAUGGUACUAGGUACCUAGUUGUGUUAUAAGGUCCUACAUGUCAAUAUGAAGUGCUUUAUGAUCAAGUUUAAGCCUUAGGAAGGAAUGGUGGCACCAUUGUACCACUAUCUAGUGUUUACGGACUAUGGACCAUAUCUCCAUGAGUUUACGGCCGCAAACUCAUGGUAUUAUGUACCAUUUCAAUGUUUAACGUCCUUAGUUCAUGUUAGAAGUGUUCUAGACUUGAUUCCAAGGCUUUGGAAGGGAUUAGGGCUCAUUUGGACCCUUAAAUAGAUUUUACGGCCCAAGGAGGUUCCUUGAUCGUAAAAUCCAUUUUGAUCAUGUUUUCUUGAUGUUUUAUAAGUGUAAACUAGUUGAUUCAAGUAUAUAUCAAGCUAAGACAAGAGUACUUACAAUAUAGAAGCUUGAAAGGGGGUUUAAGGCUCAAGAACACUAGUGUGUGUUCUUCAUGAAAUGAAGAAUGCUUGAAGAUCUUAGAAAAGAGGAUGAUUUCAUGGAUGAAAUCAUGUAAGAUCACUAGAUGAUGAAGUAUAUCAAUUAAUCAAGGAAGGAAACACUUACUAAGUUGAAGAUCAAGAAGGAAAAUCGGAUAAUACUUCCUUUGAUUACCUUUGAUGUAUUUGAGAUCAACACACCCAAACUGACUCCAAAACUUCUAAAAUUUAGCAAUUGAAAGUUUGACUUUGAUUGAAUGCAGGGUUUGUUAUAAGAUAGAAAUUUCGAGUUGUCACAUCAUCGCCCCGUUAGAGGGAAUUUCGUCCCGAAAUUAGAGUUUAAGAAAAUAAUUAGUUACAAAUAACUAAGAAAAAAGAUGAGGAUAUUUUUGUUUCAUUUGAUCCUCGCGUUGCCAAGUGAAUUCAGGUCCUCACUUGGCAUUCCAACGAACCUUAACUAUCGGGAUACGACUUUGCUUUGUUUGCUUGACCUCUCGGUCCAUGAUUUCUACAGGUUCUUCCACGAAGUUGAGGCUCUCGUUGAUCUCGAACUCGUCGAGUGGGUUUUCAAGAGUCUCGUCGGAUAGACACUUUUUCAAGUUCGAGACAUGGAAAGUAGAAUGUACGUUACUGAGUUCACGCGGUAGAUUGAGUUUGUAAGCUAUAGGGUCGAUUCUGGAAAUAAUCUCGAAAGGCCCUACGUAUCUUGGAUUUAGCAUUUCAUGCUUUCCGAAGCAUAUCAAGGCCUUACAGGGUGAGACUUUCAAAAGAACGCGAUAUCCCACCUGGAGUUCCAAAGGUUUCCUUCGCUUGUCUGUGUAGCUUUUCUGUCGAUCUCUAGAGGCUUUCAAUCGUUCACAAAUCUGAACGAUCUUCUAUGUCGUUUCCCGAAUGAUCUCCGGACCUGUGAGAGUGCUAUCAGGAACUCGUCCUUUAGCUAACUGGGUGUCACCCACCUCAGCCCAGCACAGAGGGGAUCUGCACUUUCGGCUAUAGAGGGCUUCGAAUGGAGCAGCCUUUAUGCUCGUGUGGUAACUAUUGUUGUAGGAAAAUUCGACAAGGGGUAAAUGAGUAUCCCAUGCUUUCUCGAAGUCAAUCACACAGGCUCUCAACAUGUCUUCCAAGGCUUGGAUAGUUCUCUCACUUUGUCCCUCGGUCUGUGGAUGGUAGGUUGUACUCAUAUCCAGCCUCGUUCCAAGGGAACUUUGUAGCGACUGGCAUAACCUCGAAGUGAAUCUACUAUAUCUAUCGGAGAUAAUGGAUAUGGGAACACCAUGCAGUCAAACGAUCUCCCUAAUGUAUGUCCUUGUUAGUUUCUCCAUCUUGUCAGUCUCUUUGAUUGGUAGGAAAUGCGUGGAUUUGGUCAAUCUGUCGACGAUGACCCAAAUGGUAUCAAGUCCACCCGUUGUCUUGGGCAACUUGAUUAUGAAGUCCAUAGUAAUUCGCACCCAUUUCCAUUCUGGUAUCUCCGGUUUCUGAAGUAAACCUGAUGGUUUAUGGUAUUCGAACUUAACCUUUACGCAAGUAAGGCAUUUACUCACGAAGGUAGCAAUCUCUGCUUUCAUGUUAGGCCACCAUUAUAACUUUUUAAGAUCCAGAUACAUCUUAUCUGAACCUAGGUAUACGGAAUACCGAGUGUUGUGCGCCUCUGUCAUGACCAAGUCUCUGAAGCCACCGAGUUUUGGUGUCCAGAUUCGGUCCAUGAGACUCCAAAAGUUCUAAAAUUUAGCAAUUGAAAGUUUGACUUUGAUCGAAUGCAGGGUUUGUUAUAAGAUUGAAAUUUCGAUUUGUCAAAUCAUCCCCCCGUUAGAGGGAAUUUCGUCCCGAAAUUAGAGUUUAAGCAAAUAAUUAGUUACAAAUAACUAAGCAAAAAGAUGAGGAUAUUUCAGUUUCAUUUGAUCCGCGCGUUCCCAAGUGAAUUCAGGUCCUUGCUUCGCGUUCCAACGAACCUUCACGAUCGGGAUAUGACUUUGCUUUGUUUGCUUGACCUCUCGGUCGAUGAUCUCUACAGGUUCUUCCACGAAGUUGAGGCUCUUGUUGAUCUCGAUGUCGUCGAGUGGGAUUUUAAGAGUCUCAUCGGACAGACACUUUUUCAAGUUCGAGACGUGGAAAGUAAAAUGUACGUUACUGAGUUCACGCGGUAGAUUGAGUUUGCAAGCUAGAUGUCCGAUUCUGGCAAGAAUAUCGAAAGGCCCUAUGUAUCUUGGAUUUAGCUUUCCACGCUUUCCGAAGCAUAUCAAGCCCUUCUAGGGUGAGACUUUCAAAAGAACGUGGUCUCCCACCUGGAAUUCCAAAGGUUUCCUUCGCUUGUCUGUGUAGCUUUUCUGUCGAUCUCUAGAGGCUUUCAAUCGUUCACAAAUCUGAACGAUCUUCUAUGUCGUUUCCUGAACGAUCUCCGGACCUGUGAGAGUGCUAUUAGGAACUCGUCCUUUAGCUAACUGGGUGUCACCCACCUCAGCCCAGCACAGAGGGGAUCUGCACUUUCGGCCAUAGAGGACUUCGAAUGGAGAAGCCUUUAUGCUCGUGUGGUAACUAUUGUUGUAGGAAAAUUCGACAAGGGGUAAAUGAGUAUCCCAUGCUUUUCCGAAGUCAAUCACAUAGGCUCUCAGCAUAUCUUCCAAGGUUUGGAUAGUUCUCUCACUUUGUCCAUCAGUCUGUGGAUGGUAGGUUGUACUCAUGUCCAACCUCGUUCCAAGGGAACUUUGUAGCGACUGCCAGAACCUCGAAGUGAAUGUACUAUCUCUAUCGGAGAUAAUGGAUAUGGGAACACCAUGGAGUCGUACGAUCUACCUAAUGUAUGUCCUUGUUAGUUUCUCCGUCUUUUCAGUCUCUUUGAUUGGUAGGAAAUGCGCGGAUUUGGUCAAUCUAUCGACGAUGACCCAAAUGGUAUCAAGUCCACCCGUUGUCUUGGGCAACUUGGUUAUGAAGUCCAUAGUAAUCGGCUCCCAUUUCCAUUCUGGUAUCUCUAGUUGCUGAAGUAAACCUGAUGGUUUCUGGUAUUCGACCUUAACCUUUGCGCAAGUAAGGCAUUUACUCACAAAGGUAGCAAUCUCUGCUUUCAUGUUAGGCUACCAGUAUAAGUUUUUACGAUCCAUAUACAUCUUAUCUGAACCUGGGUGUAUGGAAUAGUGAGUGUUGUGCGUCUCGGUCAUGACCAAGGCGCACAAGCCACCGUGUUUCGGUGUCCAGAUUUGGUCCAUGAGACAUAAUGCUCUGCCACCCUUGACUUCUAGGUUCUUAUCCAUCCCUCUUAGGGAUUCACCCACCACAUUUUCAAGUUUCAAAGCGUCGAGUUGAGCCUCCUUAAUUUGUGUGGACAAGUGUGAAUGGAUAGUCAUAGUAAAUGAUAUGACUCUAUGACCAGAGUACUGUUUCCGACUUAGGGCGUCAACUACUACGUUGGCCUAGCCGGGAUGAUAACGAACUUCGCAUUGGUAAUCAUUGCGUAGCUCGACCUACCUUCGUUGUCUCACGUUGAGCUCCUUCUGUUCAAAGAUGUGUUGGAGGCUUUUGUGGUCUGUAAAGAUAGUGCUUUUCGUACCGUACAGAUAGUGUCUCCAAAUCUUCACAGUUCUCAACAGCCUUAAUUUUGGAAGGGUCCACCUGUAUUCCCUUUCGCUAACGACGUGGCCCAAAAAUUAGACUCUUCGAAUCCAAAACUCGCACUUGGAGAACUUCGCAUAGAGCUUCUCCGAUCGUAAAGUUUCUAAAAAUUUUCGUAGGUGUUGACUAUGCUCCUCCUUACUUCAGGAGUAGAUAAGUAUGUCAUCGAUGAAGACGAUAACGAACUGAUCCAAGUAAGGACGGAACACCCUAUUCAUCAAGUCCAUGAAUACAGCUGGUGUGUUGGUUAAUCCGAACGGUAUCACUACAAACUCGUAGUUUCCAUAACGAGUUCGGAAAGCUGUCUUGGGGACAUCUUCCUCUAGCACUCGUAACUGGUGAUACCUGGAUCUUAGAUCUAUCUUUGAGAAGUAGUUUGCUCCUUGAAGUUGAUCAAAUAAGUCGUUGAUACGGGGUAGAGGGUAACAACUCUUGAUAGUAAGUUUGUUCAGUUCUCUGUAAUCAAUGCACAUACGGAACGAUCCAUCUUUCUUCUUUACAAACAAGACCGGUGCUCCCCAAGGUGAGAAGCUUGGCCUAAUGAAUCCCUUCUUGAGAAGUUCGUUAAGCUGACCGGAAAGUUCCUGCAUCUCUGCUGGUGCCAGUCGAUGUGGAGAUUUGGCUACUGGAGUAGCCCCUGGCACUCAGUCGAUUCUGAACUCGACUUGACGUUGUGGUGGUAAUCAUGGUAGUUCUUCUGGAAAGAUGUCGGGAAAGUCGCAUACUUCAGGAAUGUUCUGCAUGUCCUUCACUUCUUGACUCUUAUUGACGAUGUGUGCGAGGAAUGCAUGAUUUUCCUUUUGCAAGCACUUCUGAGCUUGGAUACAUGAGAUGAUACGAAGGUUCGUGUUAGGUUUGUCACCGUAGAUAACUAGGGUUUCGUUGUUAGGGAGGUUAAGACAAACUGCUUUCUCAAAGCACAUGAUGUCGGCGCAAAGACGACUUAACCAAUCCAUACCAAUUAUGGCGUUGAAACUUUUAAUUGGGACCGGCAUGAGGUCGAUUGGGAAAGAAUGACCAUCUAGAGUUAGAGUACAACCUACAUAUAUGCAGUUAGUACUUUCCGUUUUCCCGUUUUCCAUUUCUAUAGUGAAUGAUUCCUCUAGUGUACGGGGUUUUUGUUUAAGUAAGUGUGCAAAUUUCUGAUUUACAAAACUUUUUUCUGCUCCACUAUCGAAGAGUAUGCAUGCAUAUGAAUUAUCGAGGAGAAACGUACUAGUAACUAUCGUAGGAUCAACUACGGCUUCCUCAUGGUCCAUAGCCAAAACUCGUCCCACUCCGCCAAUAUUCGCUGUCUUCGGGCAGUUUCUUUUGUAGUGACCCAGCUCGCCACAACCGUAGCAAGCUAGGCUCACACCAGCAUUGGGAAUUUGAGUGAUCGGCUUUGCGGGAGUCUUGCAGAAAUGGGCAGUAUGCCCCUUUCUGUUGCAGUUAGAGCACUACAUCUACCGACAAGGUUAGUUGUGGUGGAAGUUGCAUUUGUUGCACUUCGGAAGGUUACCCACAUAAGGCUUUGCUGGGAAGGGGUUAGUAGGAAUAGCAGUAGGUACAAUAGCAACAUUUACUGUAACUAGUUUUUGUUUCUUUGAGGAUUCUUGUGAAGACCCUCCUUUCCUCUUGUUACAACCUUUCUUCCUGUUGUUGUUAUUUCCCUUUUGUUGAUCGGUUGUAGCAAUUGUGACAACCUGAUAUUUCGAGACAAUGUAAUGCAACACCAGUCAAAUUUAGGUCAAAAUAUAACUUUCCUAAAAUCUUAUUUGGGUUAAAUAAAGUGGAAGGAAUCGUAACAAGGGUUUCAUACAUAUAAAGAACACUAAAAGCCGAGUUAUAACGAAGAAGUUAUAACCAUUCUAAGAUUCUCGACAAAACAGACAAUACGGAUAGAUCUGACUUCGUAUGAGGAAGUUAUGAUUUUUCCAAGAUCCGGAUAUAACAGUAGACAGCUAAAAACUCGAAAUAGAGAUCGAGAGACUUUUGGCCGAAGCAACCUAAAUAAGAAUCGAAGGUCUCAACCAAAGUAGCGCAACGGUAAAAAGUAUGGCAAAAACGGACGCCGGAUGAAGAAGUUAUGGAUUUUUAACGGACUUUUCUAGUCCCGGCCUGUUAAAAAUAAAUAAUUCAAAAUAAAUUCAAAAUUAGCCGACAAAGUCUAAAGGAGUGUUGUAGAGUAUAUUCUCACCUAUGCGUGCAUAUAAAGAACGUUGAAAACGGAGCUCGUACGCGAAAGUUAUGGAUUUUACAAGUUUGAGGUUCAAAAUUCGAGGCUGUCAGGUCUGUCACGACGUGACACAGUUGGCCGUGACCCGACAAGUGACUAAGGGCAUCCCAUCAAUGGAAGAGGAUAAGAUUUUGCUCAGCAUGACGUGAUUACCCUGAAAAGUCAUCCCGAAGCCCCGGUUUUCACACUCAUGUUCCGAAGGAAGGUUCUACACUACCGAGAUUCCUGAGAAUCCCGAGAAAAUUAACUCUUCCAAGUCGAAGUUCUGCUCGAUUAUCAUCUCGCUUUCUCCCAAUCAAUCAAGUUAGUUCAUACCCCUAAAUUAACCUUUUAAAUGUUUUUAAAUGUUUAUAAAUUCUUUAUGGGGGGUACAAGUUGAAUCAUGUUUAGUUCUUAUGUCUAGCAUGCAAAUGGAUUUACUAUAUGUUAANGUUUUUAAAUGUUUAUAAAUUCUUUUAUUGGGGGGGGGGGGAUACAAGUUGAAUAAUGCUAGUUAUUAUAUCAAUCACAUGUGAUUAAUAACUAGCAUACAAAUGGAUUUACUAUACGGUUAGCUAUUUUACCAAACAUAUUACUUCAAAUGACUUCUCAAACGUCUUUACAUGUUAAAACUCUUUAUCAAACUAUCUUACAUACUAUAUGUUUCCUUUCGAACUCUGUUACAAUUGUGUUUCAAACAAAGUUUUUCCUUAUACUUAAACUGUCUUAUCAAACAAAAUACUUUCAGUCAUUUUAUAAACUGACAUCAGGUCAUCGUUUCUUAGUAUUAAACUUUCAAUGGUUUUACAAAACUUUUUUUACGCUUUUUAUAUUGUCAAAUGUAUGCCUACAUAUGUAUAGUUAUAUAAAUAAUGUUUAAAGGACAUAGGACGGUUAGCUCGCUUUAUUUCCUUUUCCUCGUUGGGAUUUGGCCUCAGGGCAUCGAAUGCUCGUCCGAAUGUCGUCUAAACAUUAUUUAUAUAUAAUGUAUACAUAUAUAGUUAUAAAGGUUCCAUUAUUCGGUUCAACACCUUUGGGUAGCAAAGGUAUACAUCCGGUUAUACUCGUACAUUACUAGUAACUAUGAUAGGUAUAUGUGACAUCNNNNNNNNNNNNNNNNNNNNNNNNNNNNNNNNNNNNNNNNNNNNNNNNNNNNNNNNNNNNNNNNNNNNNNNNNNNNNNNNNNNNNNNNNNNNNNNNNNNNACCCUAAUAGCAUGGAUUGCUUGAUCCAUUUUUGUCAUUCUUCGAGCUAGACUAUCAAACUUUGCUAUCACCGCCGCCAUGCUAUCAUUUGCCGCGUUUACUACCCCUCGACUUACUUCGUUUCUCGGAUUGUGGUAUUCUCUAGAGUGCUUAGAGAAUUCUUCAAUUAAUUCUUUAAUUACCGAGGGCGCCUUCUUUGUGAGCGGGCCUUGAGAAUCAAGCAAUUGCCUUGUGGUGACAUUGACUCCAUCAUAGAAGAUGGAGACCUCUUGUUGGCUAUUAAGGUCAUGGUGUGGGCAAUUUCUAAGUAGGCUCUUGUAUCUUUCCCAAGCUUCAUAAAGAGAUUCUCCNGGCAAUGGCUUUCUUUAGCUUGGCUAUCUUGGAGGGCGGGCAGAAAUGGUCUAUGAACUCUUCUUUCAUCUUGGCCCAUGUGGUGACCGAUCCGGGAGGAAGUGACUUUAACCAAUCUUUUGCAGCUCCUUUAAAUGUGACAGGAAGCAUGCGAAGAAGCUGGGUCUCGCGUGGAACAUUCGGGACGUUGAAGUAAUCGGCCACAUCAUUCACUUCGUCCAAGUGCUUGUAAGCGUCUUCGUGAUCCUUCCCGUAAAAAGGAAUCUCCUUGAGUUGGGCGAGAAUAUGGCCUUUUAGUUCGAAAGUGGCGGUCGCAGGAAUUGCGGGUUGCACAAGUCCCGGCCCGGUGUCAUCACGCAUCCUUUUCUUCCAUUCCCCCAUGGGGACUUCAUAAAUGUUAGCCAUUGUGAUAGCUAAGUCUUCUUCAGAAUCGGUUUCGUGCUCGGAAGUAUGCUCUUCUUCUUCCUAGGUCUCGUACUCGAUAUCUUCUUGAAUUGGUUCUUCAACUGUCAAUGAGGCACUGGAUGCUCCUGAUUUGCUGCUCUUCUUCUUGCUGAAAAUGGAUUUUAAGUUUUUGAGUGGUGAGUUCUUUGAAGAUGUGGUUUCUCCAACGACUUUUCCUUUGCUUCUUCUUAGUGCGGAUUCCGGGUCUUCCAAAGGAGGUACCAGAGGUGUAUCAGAUCCUCGGGUCAUGAAACAACUGAAAAAAACGAAACAAAAGAAACGAAACGCGUAAAAAGAACAAAAACGGAAUAAAAAAAUAAAGCUGAAACAGCGAUGUACUCGCCGAGUCGUCACGAAUGCACUCGGCGAGUUCAAAGCAAAAACUAAAAAAAAUUUCUAGUUAUUCUUAAAAACAGAAUUUUAUUCAAACUAAUUCUAUUUACUGAAUUACUUUGUAAAUAACUUUGUGUAAGAUAAAUCCCACNNNNNNNNNNNNNNNNNNNNNNNNNNNNNNNNNNNNNNNNNNNNNNNNNNNNNNNNNNNNNNNNNNNNNNNNNNNNNNNNNNNNNNNNNNNNNNNNNNNNUUUGCAAGAGACUCGCCGAGUCUGACCACGACUCGACGAGUCCAUCUGGAUUUCAGAAAAAGUUUGGCUUCGCGACCAGACUUGCCGAGUCUGACCCCGACUCGACGAGUCGAUAUUAUUUACAGAAAAAAAUAAUUUCGAAAUUACUUUUACAACUAGUAACUAGGGUUUUAACCCUAAGAAUCAGUUUUUCACAUACACACUCGCCGGGCGCCUCACACUAAAGUUCCUCUCAAGCAUUCAUCUUUGUUCUUCAAGUUUUCUUCAAAUUUCUCAAGUUCAAUCUCAAAAGGUAACAAAUUUCUUCUUGUUUUCUGUUAAGAACGUGAUUAUAAGGCCAUCUAUGGUAACAAUUGCAUGAAAAACCCGUUUUUGAAAAGUAGUAAAUUUCUAGGGUUUUGAUUUUUUCAUGAAUUAUGUUGUUUUGACUGCGUAUUCUGGCCUUAAUACCUUAAUAGUAAGUGCCUAGACAAAACCCUUGACGAAAUUUCCAGGUUUCAUGGCCUAGUUUUCAUCGACCUGCCGACUGACUCGUGCAGUUCGCGCGACUCGUCGAGUCAUGCCUGGACUUGACGAGUCGAGUCGGGAAGCAUAUGCGAGAUUUUUUUUAAUUAUAUUCUGUGUUUUCUGGGUUUUGUGUAUUUGUUUUGCAGAAAUCAUGUUCAGAAGGGGGCAAAGUUCCAGUGGCAACCAAGGGGAUUUUCCAUGGCUAAACUUCCCACAAAUCGAGUCCACUUCGACAUUGCGGAAAUGGAAGUAGAAGCUGGCUGAUAUCAAGAAGAAAGAGGUCUAUGUGCCCAACCGGAUAGAUUGGGAUUGGCGGCAGAAUGUUCGUUAUGAGGAGGAGUUAGCUCUUUAUCUCUUGAAGGAGUUUCACCAUUAAGGCGAAACAAUGGUGUGUGACGGGUGGAGCCGGGUCUUCCGUAUUCAAGAGUCGGUUUAUUUGGAGCUUUGUUUGGAGUUUUUCUCCACGGUAUCUUUCACCGGGGGAGUGGAUGCUUAUCACCCGUCCAGCUUCAGUUUCUGUCUUGGGGGAGAAUUUCAUCAAUGCUCUAUGGUGGAUCUUGCCUGUCGAUUAGGGGUUUAUGAUCAGCCCUUGGUCUCAACACCCAUCUUUCGGGCCUUUUUGGCACAAACCCAUAUGGUGUUUCCCGAGGGAGUGACGAGUACGGGCUGGUGGAAUACAAUUGGUAACAAAGUCUAUAUCCCAAAGUCGGAACAGGAAGGGAGCAUUCGAUCCCCAACACACCGCCUCAUACACCGCCUCAUUUCAUCCACAAUCAAUCAACAAAAGGAUGAUAAAAAGGUUUCCAACCUUGACGUUUUCUAUUUAUGGAGCAUCAUUACACCCGGCGUUUUUUGCAACAUUCCUUGGUGUCUAGCUUCAUAUCUCUCGGAGGGUGCGGUCAAGGAUCGAAAAACUUCCCGAAUUAAUGGUGGGAUGUUUGUCACCCGGUUGGCCAAUUCAUUCGGGUUGAUGAACCGCGGUGCGUGGAACUUCAUGACGUUGAUCCCUAUACCUCCGUUCAAUCCAAUUCUUUUCCGGAGAGAGAGGAUUAUUGAAGAUUAUGGUGGUGGCCAUUAUGCCAUCCUGAAUGAUGAUCCGGUUGUUGGUCCCGAAGCACCGNNNNNNNNNNNNNNNNNNNNNNNNNNNNNNNNNNNNNNNNNNNNNNNNNNNNNNNNNNNNNNNNNNNNNNNNNNNNNNNNNNNNNNNNNNNNNNNNNNNNCUAUACUAAUACAUUACAUGUUACAUGAAUACAUUUACAUAUAUAUGCUUACAUGCAUACGUUUACAUAGAUACGCUUACAUGAGUACAUUUACAUAGAUACGCUUACAUGAAUAUGUUUACAUAGAUACGCUUAUAUGAGUACAUUUACAUAGAUACGCUUACAUGAAUACGUUUACAUAGAUACGUUUACAUUGAUACGUUUACAGAGAUACGCUUACAUGAACACGUCUAAAUUAAUACGUUUAAUAGAUACUAUUACAUAGGAUCUGUUACAAAUGUUUCAGGACUUACCGUUCCACACCCAAAGCUGUUAGCUACAGUAGGGAAAAGGAGCGUCGACGGGUGUCCACGGUUGUACUGUUCGGCGAGUUUCCACACCGUGAAUAUCCUAAUGAAAAAGAAUACAUCUUUAGUUAUUAUAUUAUUCUCCUUCCUUUAUUUUGUGACACAGUCACAUGAACGACGAGGUAUGAUAUAUUUGAUAUAGAUAAACUAUUUUUCCUUAUUACCUUUAUAUUGUGACUCAUACUCAUAAUCGACGAGCUAGACUAUAACUUUUAUAAUAAUAUUUAAACAGGGAAAAACCGUCACAUUUACAGUGAUGCUUUCUUACAACACAGUCGGGUCUUGGUAGAAGACUACUUUCAUACUAGUAGGAAAUAUAGGAUUUUCUAGGGUUUUCAAACGUUUACAGUUACUUACAAAAAUUUUCAUACUUUUCUCCAAAUGUUUACAAGUCUUUACUUUACAGUAUUUACAAAUCAAAGACACAUUAAUACUUAUGAAUUCACCAGCUUUAUUGCUGAUACUCGCUUUCAAAAUAACUUGUAUUCUCAGGUCACAAAUAGACAGGUACGACGACCAAGUUUUGUGAAGACGGAGAAAUC